AUCUCGCUUGAUAGUUUGUUGCGUGUCUGAUUCAGAUUUCCAGAGGUCGGAGUGCGUCUUGUUGGGUACUUGUUUGCAAUUUGUGGCAAGAUAAAUACCUCCAUGCUUUCUUCAGGAACUAAAUAUGCAGCUUACCUCGUGUUCACUUUGAGAUCAGGAAUUAAUGGAUAUGGGCACCAGCUUGCUCAGGCUUUGAUAGAAAUUAGUGGACAAAACGCUGAUGAACAAACUAACUAUUUACAAAUUGGACAAGAAGCUGAUGGUACAACUGUCUAUUGUCCAGAUGAAGAACAGAGGCAAAGGUGCCAGACUGUUCCUAGACCCAAAACUUUCUUGCAUUUAAUCUCUCAUGUAUUUAGACGGCUAGACAUCAUAGAGCCCUCAGAGUUGCACAGAUAUCCCAAGUUCAGGGAUGAUGGAUGGAUGGAAGUUGAGAUGGGAGAGUUCUUCGUCGAGGGGAAACAAGAUCAGGAUGUGAAAAUUAUAUCUGUGCCGUGGAAUCCAGGACUGUGGUGUAAUUGUUGGCAUGGUGGUCAUCUUAUUAUUCAAGGUAUUGAUAUCAGACCAAGAGCUUGGUGAAUAUUUGAUUUACUAUUUUCAUCAGAAAUAAGUUCAUGGGUGUGGGAGUCCAACUAUGUACACUUCCAAUUCAGCUUAUUAACUUUUCUUUGCUUAUUACCUCUGUUUAGGUUAUUUAUUUUGUGUCCCAGACCUCACACAUUAUUCUCUAAACUCACGUGAUAACAAUUUUUUGAGCUUAUGAUGAAUUGGAGAAUUAGGAUUAUCUUUUUUAUUCUCUCUUUUAGUACGUUUCAAGUGAAUGAAUAAUUUUCAUUGUCAGUCAAUUGUUUGAAACUACUAGUCAUAACGACCUUUAGAAAGUUUUUGCUUGAACUUGUGGCUUGAUGCCUUUUCUAAUGCCUAUAACCAGGGGCGGACCCAGCCGUUUUGGAUUGUGGGGCCAAAAAUUAGAGUCGUGCUGUAGUGCCCGCAUGAACGACCGCGGAGUUGACACAACACACACAUGAGAUCGGGAUUAUUUUAUUCAUGGGGUUCCCGUUGGACAUGUGAGGGCACAGUCACUUGCGAGUUCAUCUUCGCGGGUUGUGUUUAGCUCCAAAAAUUAAUGUGUAAUUUUUUAAAACAAUAUAAUAUUUAUAAAAAUAAGUCAAUACGUAUUUUGACAUCUGGAAAGUGUCUUAUAAUUCGAUCAUUAUCAAUAUUGUUAAAUGAAUUUUGCUAUAUGUAUAGUUUUGUUUAUCAUGUCAUUUAUGGAUGUUGAGUUAACGACGAGUAAAUCAAAUUGGAUGUAAGAAGUAAAUGAAAUUUAAGUUUAAUGAAAAAAUAAUUUGAAACUAAUUCAAAUUACAUUUAAUUCGUAAUAAUUUUAGAAUUUUUGACAUCAUAUUUAAUGUAAAAUUUCUUAAUAAAAUAAUGUAAAUUAUAUUAAAAAAUUUAUCUUGAAAAAAUAAUAACUGUAAAUGAAAUAAUUAAUUUUUUUUAAAAAAAUGACGAGUUAAACGCCUAUUUUAAUACGGACGUUUGAUGCAUAUUUAACUAUUUUUAAUAUCUGUUUGGACCAUUCAACAUAACUACGAUGUAGUUUUCAUAACAAGCUUUUAGAUGAUGCAAGCGAUUUGUAGAUUUGGAUAGUAUAUGAUCAUUGGCAAAUUUUAAAAAUUAUCAUAUUAUCAAAAUUUUCGAAAUACUAAUUUGGAACAGCAUACUUUGAUAUAUCGUAACUUUUGCUAUAGUUGAUCAUUCACACACAAUUAAAAAGCGAAAAAUGAAAGUUUUUGCUUGAACUUGUGGCUUGAUGCCUUUUCUAAUGCCUAUAACCAGGGGCGGACCCAGCCGUUUUGGAUUGUGGGGUCAAAAAUUAGAGUCGUGCUGUAGUGCGCGCAUGAACGACCGCGGAGUUGACACAACACACACAUGAGAUCGGGAUUAUUUUAUUCAUGGGGUUCCCGUUGGGUUAAGAAUGUAAUAUUUCGAUUUCAUUUGGUAUGUAUUAAAGUGGGUCAAAAAUGGGUUAAAACAACCGUUUUCUGAAAAUAAAUUAAAAUUUGUGGGGUCAUCUGACCCCACAUGAUCGCCCCUGCCUAUAAUGAUUUCUCUGUUGUCAAAAACAUGUUUUUAAUUUUUAAUUUUGAUUUUAUUUUCAAUAUUUGGAAGGUCUACGUUAAAAUGGUUGAAAAUACGUUCGAUUUAUCAUUCUUGGAAAAUGUUUAUGAAUUUUAUAAUUUAUUUUAUGAUAGUUUAUUUCAUUAAUCUGAUUAUUCAAUAAAAUAGAAUAGUUUUAUAUUAAAACUAGUUAUGUGUCUUAUUUUGAAAGGGAUGUUAGAAUGAAAUUUAAGUUUAAUGAAAAAAUAAUUUGAAAGUAAUUCAAAUUACAUUUAAUUCGUAAUAAUUUUAGAAUUUUUGACAUCAUAUUUAAUGUAAAAUUUCUUAAUAAAAUGAUGUAAAUUAUAUUAAAAAUUUUAUCUUGAAAAAAUAAUAACUGUAAAUGAAAUAAUUAAUUUUUUUAAAAAAAAUGACGAGUUAAACGCCUAUUUUAAUACGGACGUUUGAUGAAUAUUUAACUAUUUUUAAUAUCUGUUUGGACCAUUCGACAUAGCUACGAUGUAGUUUUCAUAACAAGCUUUUAGAUGAUGCAAGCGAUUUGUAAAUUUGGAUAGUAUAUGAUCAUUGGCAAAUUUUAAAAAUUAUCAUAUUAUCAAAAUUUUCGAAAUACUAAUUUGGAACAGCAUACUUUGAUAUAUCGUAACUUUUGCUAUAGUUGAUCAUUCACACACCAUUAAAAAGCGAAAAACUAGGCCAUGAGCGUUUAGAAACGAUAUUAAGAAUGUAAUAUUUCGAUUUCAUUUGGUAUGUAUUAAAGUGGGUCAAAAAUGGGUUAAAACAACCGUUUUCUGAAAAUAAAAUAAAAUUUGUGGGGUCAUCUGACCCCACAUGAUUGCCCCUGCCUAUAAUGAUUUCUCUGUUGUCAAAAACAUGUUUUUAAUUUUUAAUUUUGAUUUUAUUUUCAAUAUUUGGAAGGUCUACGUUAAAAUGGUUGAAAAUACGUUCGAUUUAUCAUUCUUGGAAAAUGUUUAUGAAUUUUAUAAAUUAUUUUAUGAUAGUUUAUUUCAUUAAUCUGAUUAUUCAAUAAAAUAGAAUAGUUUUAUAUUAAAACUAGUUAUGUGUCUUAUUUUGAAAGGGAUGUUAACGUCUUGAAUGUUAAGGAUUGAGGAGAUAUUGUAUUACAAAAUUUCCACACACAUAUUUACAUAGAAGAAAUAAUGUUCCAUAAAUCUGUAAAAGGAUCAAUGAAUGGUGAAACAUUUAAACAAGGAGGGCAAAGGAAAUGCUAUGGAAAAGGCAUAAGGGGAAAGUUCAAAUUUACAAGAGGAGAACAACGUGUUACAACUUAGAAUGUAACAACGUACUUCAAAAUAUACUUUCGUUUGGUUCCUUUUCUACUAAAUUGACGUAGAAAUGAAGCAAAAGUUCUAUACAAUCAAAAUAAAAAUAGAUGCGGAUUGCAAUAGUUAGAAAGAGACAAAAUCAAUCAUUUGGUAAAAACCUCAAAAAUCAGUUGGGGACUUUAGAUACCAUUGGGCUAGACGGAGUUUUUGUAAAGGUUAAUCGAGAAUUUAAGCCACCUAACUGGAAAACAGAAAAUUUGUUAAGGGACAGAAUAUGCAAGUACACAAUAUGGAAAUUAUCAAAGCAAAAUGCUAUAAUAUUUAAUACGAAAUACAAUUUCAUUGUGGGCCUUACCUCUGCAUUGCUCUUCAUGCAGUUCGAAGCAGGCUUUGUGCAACCAUUCAUAAAGGGAUUAUUUUGUUGUAAAAAAUAAUAUUAAUUUCCCAGAAGGUAGGGCUUUCACUUUGUACAUCAAAACUUUAGAAGAAGUGAACGAAAGUUCAUCUAGGGAAAAUAAUAAGGUGGUUAACAUGAAAAGAGACGUAAUUCGUGGAGAAUGUGGAGCUAUUUAACGCUUUCCAUACUAUUAUUUUAGAGAAUUCUGCAAGAAUCUCCGAAAUGAUUGCAUAGAGAACCUUAAUUAGUUACACAUUUUCCAUGUUAACCAUCUCAUUAUUGUCCAUUUGAGAACCUUUAUGCAUAUCUUAUGGAGUUUUUAUAUAAAAGUGGAGGCUCUUGUUUUCUAUGUAAUUUUAUGUUGUUUCUUAGUUGAAUGGAAAGUACUUUCUAUUAGAUCCUGCAAGGCUGGAAAUGUAAUUUGGUUCAGUUCGUAUUCAUAAUUGACAAAAUGAACAAUUAAUUGAGCAUGAAGAUUGAUGUAUAUGUUAUAUAUACGGAUAGAUAAAAGGAAGCGCAUAAUAUACCGUAAUAAUUUUACUUAUAUGGAAUUCGAUUGAAGUUAAUAAUGCCUCAUGUUGCUUUACUUUAAGCAAGGUAGAAGUAGCAUGGAAAAAGUUUUAUACCAACUGUAGUACUUUCUUUAUUAUUCUUAUGGAGCGUAUUAAAAAGGAAGUAUUGUUAACAUAGGUAGGUAGAGAAAUUCUGGAGAUGCGGAUAGAGUCUUGAUUGACACAGUUACAAUUGUUACAAAGGGGAUAUAUUAUUAAAUUGAAAUGCUUUUGAACACGGCCGUGAAGUGCAAGACACAUCAUAAUUGUCAUUAAUGUAGGAGAGUAUUUUCCUAAAAUUAAUAGCUACACAAAAACGCUUGCAAUGGUAAAAAAUUCAUAUUUACCGGUUAAGUUGCAAAGUUUGAAGUCGGCCUAAGAGUUGUCUGCAAACAGCUUAGCAUUGCUAGGAUUUAAAUUAAUUUUUUUUUCCUACCAUUGCAGGCGGGGAUGAUUUCUCGGGCUUAGAAGGCUUCCCGUCUUCACUGUUUCCCAUGAUAACGCACAAAGUGCAGUCCUUUAUUAAAUUGGUAUCCCAAAAAAAAUCUUUUGAUCUUCGAAACAAAAUGUCAAUGUAGUUUAGAUCGAAUGCUUGGAAUGUGUCGAAACAUUGACGAAGUACAAGAAAGGCAAAUCGGGAAAGAAUCAAACUGAAAAUGAAAUAGCUAUUCAAGUCAAAGAUUCAUCAGGUAGCCACUUCAAACCAACUCGAAAUUGAUCGUGUUGAAAUUGGAUAAGAUGAGAUAAACAAAACUUCAGCUACUAUAUUUGAUCCACUAGAAAUGAUAUGUUUAGUCCUUGAUUAGAGUUUUUCUCUCAACAAAAAAGAUAGAUCUUCAUGUGAUGAUCCUGUGUAAUCUGGCAAGAAGCUUGUACUGCAUACUAUGUUACAUCCUCGGCAAUAGAAAAGCUGGGCGUUUGUUGUAUUUCUUCGACCAUUUUAAGGGAGGAAGUAGUUUUUCUUUGCUGUCAUUCUGUGCAGCAUUUGUAACGUGCCUCAACGGAAUGAAUGUACAUAUCAGUACAACUUUUCUGGUUUUGUUGGAAUGGAUAGGACGAGAUGGUAAAGAAUGUAAUGUCUUUCAGCGAACCAUGCCUAGAGAUGGUUUAAUGGGAAAAUAGAUCAGUAUUUGAUCGAGUAAAUAUUAUGUGUGUAGAAGACAUAAUUGGGAUCUGUAGUUUUUUCUGAACAGGAAAGAAACUUCAUUCCACAGAAUCAACAGUAGUAAUGUUUCCCAGAAAACUAGGUGGUCUAUCCAACCACACUUUGCUACGAUAAUUAGAAAAUGCAUAGCUAGCUGUCCCCAGUUGCUUACCAUCUAAUUGGCACAAAUAAUAUUCCGUCAAAUGAGCCCUCAAGUUUUGUAAUGCAGCAUAGGAUGGUGCCCUUGGAGACCUGAAUUUUUGGCUGCUGCUACUGUUGAGAGUAAAUUGCAUGCCUUCCAAGAUAGCCUAAACCUUUGUCGCAUGAGGAUAGCAACGGGCAGAUACUCUGAGGACAAAGAAGUUGCGUCCUUCCCUUUAUUGCGACAUCAACAUUAAGCUUCAAUUGGUUACCAGCCAUAACAUUCACUUUCUGACUCACCUUCCUUAUCGUCCCAUGCCCUCCCGCUGGAGCUCUAGCCAAUUGAUACUCCUCUACAUAAGCGGUCGAGUGGGGCAGAAUUCUAUAUGCUUCACAUAGCAGUCUUUUGAAGACAAUGGAAUUUCAAUCAUAGGAAACAAUAAUUUUUCAAGUAGAAGUUAUUUAUUUCACAAUACAAGAAUUCUAUAUGUUCUAUUUAUCAAUGGAAGUCAUUUAUUUCACAAUACAUCAUAGGAAACAAGAAUUUUUCAAAUUAAACGCCAAAAAAUUAUGGGUCAAUUUGUUGACAAAGUUCAUGAACAAAGUACAAAAUCAAAUAGUGUUGGAAAAAAUGAGUAAAUGGCUCGCUUUUGGCAAGGGAAUGCCCUCCUCAUUCCAAUACUUCAUCUUCAUCACCAAGAAAAGAAAUUGUUUCAUGGUAAUCAACCCAUAAACCAUCUCUAGAAACGUCUUCAAGAUAUCUAGUUUGCUGCUUCUCAAUAUUACACACUGCCAGACGGGAAUCAUUGCACCCAAAAAUGAUAUUUUCCUUCUUUGCAAAUUUAACAUAUAAAGGUCGUUCCCUAGUUCGCACAAUAAUCUCUUGCCAUGUUUCAGCCACCCCGAAUUGUGUCAUUACCCAUACACUCCAAUCGGUUAAAACAUCACGAGGUACAACAACGAGAGCAAGAACCCCUCUGUAAACAAUGAGAUCUGGAAAUCUUGCAAGGGGCUGCUCAAAAUGUGGCAACGUCACCUGAUGAAACGUUUCUGUUCGAGUAUCAAAUGAAAAGAUAAACACAUCCCCUUCCAGCCUGAAGGGAGGAAUGACCAACCAAUUGAUUCGUCCAUUAGCAACUAAGGGGAUAUCUGACUUUACGAAUAGAGGAGGAACUUCCACAUCAGAGAGCCUUUUCCAAGACCUUGCUUUCAAGCUAAAUAUUUCAACUUGACAUUGUUUCACUUCAAGAAUACUAAAAACUUGUAAGAUUCUGAGUAACUUAUAAUCGUCGUUUAUAUUGUCAUACCAAAAUCCGACAUUAUACUGGAAUCUGUAACCAGAAUCAUAUAAAAUAUUGAAGCUAGUGCUCUUAAUGCAUUUAAAUUUCUCAAGAAUCGGAUUCCACAAGUAUAACACUCGACCACAACAUCGAACAUGAUUGUUAGUAAAGCAAACAAUGCCAUUGAAAGAACCAAUUGGUCGAGAGAAGAAAUCAAACUUUGCAGGCCACUCAACCUGAUAUUCCACGUUCCAGUUACAAAGUACUUUGCAAGGUUCGUACCAAUAGGGACCAAACCAAGGGUUUGGCAUGAGGAGAGCAUAAUCUCUUCUAUCAUCAUCUACACAUCGACUGAGAUGAGUAGAAAUGAAAGCAGGAGAUUUAAUGAAUUCAUAAGAGGAUUUGUUUACUAUAGUAAAACGCCCCACAAAUUUUGGGGGCAGCCAUGAGAAAACUUCAUAAAGGACACAUUCCGGAAAAUAUCGAUUGGUAUUAUAAGCCAUGGAGAUCCUACGAAACAACAAAUAGGUAUUAACAAAUUUAUAUUUUCUGUUAAAGAUCAUUUUACAUGAAUCCAGCUCUGUAUUAUAUAACAAAAUUAUGCUGAUAGCAUUACAUUUUACGAUUUUAGUAAAACAUACGAAUCUACACAAGUAAUUAUGAUAUUAAUAUGAAUAUUUAAACCUAAAAAUUGAUUAAAAUAACAGCUUAAUCCACCAUAUUGAUUUGAAUUUAAAUUAACUUACCUUCAAUUCAAAUCUGAGAGAGCGAACGAGAACAGGAGCACAAAUGAAGAAUGGAGCAGAAAAAAUUAGGUGCACAAAUGAAGAUCGAGCGAGCGAGAAUUAGAAGAUCAAGAGAGAGCGAGAGCGCGAGCGCGAGCGAGAACAGAAGCGCAAAUGAAGAAUGGAGAGAAGAGAGGGGAGGGGAGGGGAUGAUAAAGAAAAAUUGGCGGGAGUUUCCACGAGAUUGUUGAGUCAGUGUCAUGUUUGGCUAUUAAUUUAAUUGUACCUAAAUUAUAAUUUGAAUAUAUAUUAUUUCUAAGUUUUGAUUAAACAAAAAUAAUAAAAUUUACAGUAUUUUUUCUCCCCACUUACCCCAGGCAUCAACUAUAUUUUGAUAAACUCAUUUUGAAUCAUACAUAUUUCAUCCAUAUUAAUCAAAAUCUACUAAAAAUUGGAGUUUUAACAAAAUCAAAUAGUUUUUGGUACAUAUUCAAUCGCACAUUGUUUUGGAUUUGGUUGAUCGGAGUUGAAAUAUCUCCAUAUUUGUUUAUCUUCUUUUCAUGAUUUCAUCAUUCUUAACGGACAAAUCCUUUCUGGAUAUUUUUGACGAUUUUGAUAGGUCAAAUAAACCUCAAAGUACAACUAUGUUUUCCAAGUUCGAGUUUUUUUUUUCCCUCCAAGUUUUUAAGUUCGAUUUUUUUUGGUUGUUUGUCUUCAAGUUUGCAAUGAGUCGGAAUGAUGUCAAUCUUGGCUUGUCGUUAUCAUUUGCUCGGCUUCUAUGAUAAAUCGAUGCUUUGUGAUCAAGGUAAAUAGAGAGGAGCAUGUUUAAUACACAUGAUUAAAGCCGGUCCUCAGGCGAGGGUGGGCGAGGCAAAUGAGGCCCUCGCCUCAGGCCCAAUACCAUAAGGUGCCUUAUUUUAGCCCAGAUUUUUUCCCCCAAAACAAGGCCAAACAACCUAGAUCCAAUGGUGUGCAAUUUGAUGCAAAUUUACUGAAAACAAGAUCUAAAAUGGUUAAAUUUGGGGUUUAUUUUCUUAAAAAUGGUGUGAGAUUUGAUGAAUUUUAUAAAUGAGUGUCUAUAAAUAUUCAUAUCGUUGCUUAUUUUUGUACAAAAACUUUGUGAAGAUAGAUAUUUAUGUGGUUGUAUUUGUUAAAUCCAUGUCAUUGUCUUAUUUUUGUACAAAAACUUUGCGAAGAUAUUACAACAUUUUAUAAUUCUUUCAUUCUAGAUCUGCUUUAAAAGGGACAGAAAGUUGUAUUUUAAUAUAUAUGUAUGUUUUUGUUUAAUUUUAGUUGAUAAUAAAUCUUUAGUCAAUUAUGUCGAUUUCUUAAUCUGCACUUCCACACUUGGCAUCAGUUCCUUCAUUCUAUGAUUAAAUCUUUGGUUUUAUUAUUUUAUAAUAUAAAUCAUUUCUAUAAUAUAUUUGGUUAUUAUUUAAAUGUUAGUUUUAAGUUAGCAAUAGGUCGCAUAAUACACUGUUGAAUUUUACAUUUACGUUGAUUUCGUCGAUGCCUAAUUUGUGAAAUUUGCCCUGGGCCCCGACAAUCCCAGGAUCGACCCUGCACAUGUUGUGCAAUAAGGCAUGUGAAUGUGCAUAUCCAUGCGAUUAGGGCGCAACAAGGAUAGUUCGAGCUUAUCUUUAUGUUCACUAUAAAUACAACGAUCCUCUCAUCCCGACAACUCUACAACCCUCACACUCUAACCCCUCAAAAGAAAUUUAAAUAGAAAAUAUUGUCAUUUAGAUUAUAAGUUGUAGAUUCUAUGAAUUGUAAAUAUAUACUCAGACAUCAUAGUACAAAAAAACUUUUUUGAUGAAAAGUACGGUGAUCAUUUGUACUCUAACAGUUAAAACAGUUAUCAUGAAAAAAAUGAUUAUGGAUAAGGCAAAUGAACGGAGUGUUGGCUAGUUUUUGAAUAUCGUAUAUAUAUUUUUCAUAUAUAAGGAAAAUAAGGUGAAAAGUGCUUAUGACCUUUCAAAUCUUUUGGAUACGUGUCUACCAUUCCUUAUAUUGUUCAUUGUCACAAGUUCAUCCUGUUGAAUUCGAUUUCUUUUGUUUACAUGGCCGUCAAUCCCUCUCCAUUUGAUGUAGGGUAAUGUCACUACUUCGCUAAAAAAUUAUAGCUAAUUGGUACAAAUACAAUUUAGCCUAUACCAUCUAAAAUCAAGCUUCCGAAUCCAUCUCAAACCUAAUCCGUCGGGUCCACGCCAACACUAAACUCAAUUAAAUAGCGAUAGAAAAAUAAUUUAUUACGCAACCGAAACUUACCUACCAAAAGAAAAUCUAAAAGACAACUUGCGUAAUUUACCCUCAUCCAAAUACACACAUUUCAUUGGUAAUUAAGUAGACAAAAAGGGCAGGAUGUGGCUGCAUUUACCAACAGUUAGCAAGAAAAUUCAAAUAAUUUUUUUUCUAUUUUUAUUUCUAACAUAAAUAUAAAACAAGUAAAUUGCAAAAUAUAUGAAUCUAGUAAAUUGCAAACGUGUAAAUCGUUAAAUAAAUAAAUAAAUAACCGUAAGAAUAAAUUGCAAAUAUGUAAAUUGUAAAAGAUAAAUAAAAUUUCAACUCGAGACCUGUGCAAGCACAGUUUCCUUAAAACAGAUUUGCCCCCUCACCGUAAGUGCUUGAUGUCUAAUCCGAGCGUUUGUUUCCUAGGAUAUAAUAGUAAAACCUGUAUAAUCUGAGUACCACAGAUACUACUCCGACGAACUGACUAGUAUCCGAACAAUAUCACCAUAGUGACGACGCUAAACAGAAAUCGAGAUGUUGACAGAAAAAAUUGCAAAAUGUUUUUCUCCUAUUUUCGUGUUUGUUUCUGUAUGUGCUGGAUUUGCCGAAAAAAUGACCUUUCAUAUAAGUUUAAAUCUGCCUAUUAACUCCAUAGUAAUAAAUACUGGAGUUGCUUCAAUUUCUGAGAGUUUUGGCAGUUUCAGGAAAUUUAAAGGUCAAUUGAAAAAGGCAAAAAAUUGCAAAAUGUGGACAAUCCAAACGGGCCAAUUUUUGCUCUGUUUUGUUCGACAUUCGUGUACGUAGGUCACGUCUGUACACAAGUUCAAGGUCCGAAAGCAAUUUCGAUAUAUGAUUUACACCCCCCUGCGCGUACACGUGGAGAGAGUCUCUAUGCAACAUAUGAUUACACCAUUCCAAUGUGUAAUCCUAUACAAAGUAGUUAAUACUUUCUUCAUUUUCGUAUGUGGGACUAGACUCAUUUUUCCCACAUAAACCAUCUUUCAAUGGUCAUCUUUGAGCUCCAAUUUCUCAUUCACCCAAACUUCAUUUUUGGCAAAUAAAUAUAUGAUUUUGAUACUCUCACGGAGGAGAACACGAAUCAACUUUGAUAUUCCAAAUUGGACCAACGGAUCCCACCGAAAAUUUUGCCAAAAUUGAGCCAUUUACUCAUUUUUUCAACAAAUAUGAGUUUCUAAAAGAUGAAGAUCGAAAACUUAUAAUGGCCUUGCAUGUGUAGUUGAAUUUUCUCUUACACAUGAACAAUUUUUUUUUUUGAUCGGUACACAUGUACAAUUUUUUUCAUAGUAAGAGUGCAGCAAGACUCCAGAAUCCAACAUAGAUAUUUUUUUUUCUUUUGUGGGGAAACUUAAGAUUUUUCUUAUAUUUUAACAAUAUAUUCUCCAAAAAAUCAUUAUUCAAAAUAUUAUUUUUACACAAUAAUGACCAUCAAGCCAAAUAUUUGGUGAAAAACAAAUAAAAUGGGAAGUACAAUUUUUUUGAUCGGUACACAUGUACAAUUUUUUUCAUAGUAAGAGUGCAGCAAGACUCCAGAAUCCAACAUAGAUAUUUUUUUUUCUUUUGUGGGGAAACUUAAGAUUUUUCUUAUAUUUUAACAAUAUAUUCUCCAAAAAAUCAUUAUUCAAAAUAUUAUUUUUACACAAUAAUGACCAUCAAGCCAAAUAUUUGGUGAAAAACAAAUAAAAUGGGAAGUACAAACUGAUGUCCACAAUGCACAAUGAACUCGUUCUGAAAUGAUCCAGCUUUGGGGAAAAAUGAAAAAAGAAGAGAGAGAGAGAGAUGGGGGUGGGGGUGGGCGUGGGCGUGGGCGUGGGCGUGGGGAUGGGGAUGGGGCCUGGGGGAGUGUUAAACGACGUCGCAUGUGCAAUUAUUGCUUUCAGCAAUGCUUUUCUAUGUGUAAAACCAAAGACGGCAGAAAAAUAUUGUAAGGAUAUGUUUAUUUACUUUAUUCUUCAUGAAAAAUAUGUUAUUUUUUCAUGGAAGUUCGUGAUUUUAAUAUGUUUGAUUGACAUUUUUUUCAUAAAAAAUAUUUUUUAAAAGUUGGUUAUCUGAUCAUAUUUUUCUCAAAAAUAAGGAAAAUAUUUUAUUUGGGGAAGCUAGGUAAAACAUUUUCCAUGCAAUUCAUACUUUCUACAAACUCUCUCUCUCUCUCUCUCACUCUCUCAUCUACACACAAACAAAGAUGAAAAAGUAUAAUAUAUUUUUAAUCGAGAUUUAAGUCAAUCAAAUACAUUUAACUAAAGGUUUCAUCGAUCUAGAUUGAGUAAGCUCACGGCUCGUGCGCAGUCCAAUAAAAAAAAACUCAAGCUUUUUUAAGCCCAAACCAAGCAAAAGUUGACCAUAAUUUGGAGGCUUGAAUCGGGCUUUUGGCUUAGGCUUUAUCAAGCCAGGCCAACUCAAUAAUUUUUUAUUAUUUUUUUAAAAUUCAUGAAAUAUUCACAUAAAAAAGUCAAGUUUAAGUUUUUCUUCUAAACUAAAAUACAAUAAAAAUUUAAUCAUAUAAAUACAAUAAUAUAUGAAUUAGAGUACAAUUUUAAAAUAUAUAAAUAUCCUAAUAUUCGUUUGUAAAAUUAGAAAUAUUAACAAGUAAUAUUAUAUUAACUCAUAUACAGUAAAAUUUUAAAUUUAUAUGAAUAAAAUAUAAUGGAAUAUUAAUGAAUAUGAUAAGAAAUUAAAAUAUAGAUAAUUGUAACAUAAUUAUGAAUAUUAAUUAUGUAAGCAUAUUUAUAUAUAAAUCAUAUUUUAUUGAUUUAAAUCUUAAAUUAAAUAUUAAUAAAACAAAAAAGUUGAAAGUUGGCAUCAAAUCGGGUUGGGCCAAUGACACGGGCCAUUUUCAUGAGCUAGCCCAUACAGCUUGACGAGCCACAUGGGCCGGCCCAGCUCGAGCCGAGUCCCAAAUUUUGGGCUUAGCCCGAGCCUUGGCUUGAUUCUAUCAAACCCCAGGCCGAGCCAGUUCGAGCAGCCUGAGCCAUAUGCAUCAGUAAAUGCAAAGCAUGGCAUCCCCAAUCGAAAAGUUACAAAUGUGAGUUACUUUCUACCAAUAAAGAUACAGACGAUAAUGAUAUAGAAUAUUAAUAUUUUGAAGAUUGCAGUUCUGUAUCUUUUGUAGCUUGAAUUUUCUCAGGAAAAAAAGACAAAAGUGCAAUAAAUAGGAUCAAUUCCAGCAAGCCUUUCAGAACAUAUUAUUAUGUUUAUAGACAUGCACUUCUAUGUAGCAAAAAAAUAAAAAAUUAAAACAACGAGACGCCGUUCUGCAACUAUUUUUCUCCCUCUUAGUAAAAAGAUAGAAUACAAUUGAAGUAGGUCCUAAUACUUUAAAACCAUGGCGACUAAGCAAUGACACUCUAGUUUCAGAAGCACAAUGUAUUCAUAAACUCGGGUCUGGACUCGUUUUAUCUCUCAUAUACAAAUAAAGAGAGAGAGAGAGAGAGAGUUAAAAGUGUUAUUUGUAAUACAAUAGGCAUAGCCAAUGACAUCUGAAAUUCAACCCACAGGAUAAUGAAAGACUGACCAAAGUUUUCUGCAAGCUCCAUGUCAAGUUAUAGAAUGAAUAAUACAAAAGAAAACUGUCAUUAAUGUUGGCUUCAGCUUCUUCCCUGUCUUCCAUGUUAAAUUACUUGACAUAAAGAAAGACAGAGAAAAAGGGUAAUAGGAUACUUAUACAGCAACUGCAAAUAAACAAAGUUCGAGGCUCUGACAAUAAAAUAGCCGUGCAGGAGGCUUCAGCAAAAUGUGGAUGCAUCAGUAGUUUCGCCAUGUUAGCUUAGGGUCCAGAUAGCUGGAUUCACAAAGAAGCCCCAAGUACCAUUAUAAAGAAGGAUCAGCACGAAACAAGUAAUUUGAAAUUAUCAUCCAGAUAAUCUGUCAGAGAAAAUAGCAAUAACUUAUACUGACACAACAGCAUUAUUCUCAUACACAUGUCAAGGCAUUUAAGUGUGUGCAUAGACUCACACAUGCAUACACAUUCAAUGUCAGGGAUGAGCAUAAAAGUGAAUAUCAUUUUUGCUCAAAAUAACGCAAAGGGAUUUGAUAAAAUUAUACGACUUUAGUAACCUAAUUGAAAAACAUACAAGUUAGAGUGCCAACCUUAUUCCAGAAAAUAAAAAAAGAAAGAAAAUGUCAACUUUGUGAGGUUCCUCUCAGUUUCCCCACAGCUAUAAACUCCAAUAUCCUUUCCUUGACAGCAGUUAAUCCCUAAUUGUUUUCAUCAAGAAUCUUAUGAGCACCUACAACAUUGUUGUCUAUCGUUUCUUUUCUACUGGAUGAGUGAACCCCACCUACCUGUGCUGGAUUGCUUGGGUUAGAGGAUGUUUCGCUAAGAUUUUGAGUCCUUUCAACUCCACCUACCUAUGCUGGAUAGCUAUGUAUUCGGGGAUGUUUGACUAAGCUUGCUGUCAAUAUACUAAUGACCUGUCACGUAUACAAUAGUCCCACUAGGCAUUAUCUCCUGUUGGAAUAAGUGUUGAAAACUAGUUGAAAUACAUAUUAUGCCUGGUGCUGCAUUUUCACGGGUCACGAAGUAUGGUUGUUAUUGGUCACUGCUUUAGAGGGGUUAUUGUCUUUCCUGCAUCAUCAAUUACUAAACUUGGAUUUUGUGUUGCAGUAACGAUGGUAAGCACUUGCACAUGUUACAUUUGGACUGAAAAGGACGAAGACAACAAGAGGAUCUAAGGGAAUCAAGCGUAAAGGGAGAGUUUUGAGAAGCAUAAAAGCUCUCUAAAGACAAUUAUAUCCUUCAACAACUAUCAUUGAGUUCUUUCAGUUUGUAAAACAGUUACCGCCUGAUUUUUAAUUUUUACAUGCACAUUCCAAAUUAGGUAUAUUUGCAAUUUCCAGAAAUUCUAGGUUAUAUUCUUUAAAGACCAAGUCAUUACUUUUCUAAUACAAAGCAUUAAGACCAGUUUUGCAGGUGAUCAACAAGUUUACCUAUAAGAGUUCAGAGUCCAACUAGUCUAGAAUAUCUCAAGUCUGUAUGAAGCAUUAUGAUGAUUCUAAAUAAAAAUUGGAAGUUGAUUGUUCGGGUGGAUUUGCUUGAACCUUUGCAAGGCAAAGCACGUUCUUCUCAUCUGCAAUUCUCACGAUUCCACAUUUUCUGUACCUAGGUCAAUACCUGUUCUCAUCUUCUCUUCUCUUCUUAUCUGCAAUUCUCGUGAUUCCACACUUUCUAUAUCUAUGUCAAUACCUCUUCUCAUCUUCUGUUAUCAUCUGCAAUUCUUGUGAUUCCACAUUUUCUGUACCUAUCUCAAUACCGGUACUUAUCUUCUCUUCUCAUCUGCAUUUCUCAUGAUUCCACAUUUUCUGUACCUAUGUCAAUACCUGUUUCCCCUUUUCUUUUUAAAAAAAAUAAAAAAUGAUAAUAAUAAUAAAAAAUAAACCCUUGGGCCGUCGACAGCCAAGAAAUACCAGAACUUUUCAACAUCAUUAUCCAACUUUUUACAAUUCAAGGGAUAAAUCGCUCCACGCAAGAAAGCUUCAGAAGCUUCCAGGGGUUUGCCCAGCCUUGCGACAAAUUAAGCAUGAAAGUUUUUGCUUAGAUCACAGGAAAACUAUUUACAUUCAGGUAAAAUAGCAUUUGGGCGAAAAGAUUGGUACCAUCAAUAUGAUAAAAAGGUCACUAUAUUAAAGAGUUAAAAAACAUCUAAAAUCUAGUUUCUCAACUAUAUCCCAUGAACAACAAUAAUAGAUUCAAAAACUUAACGAGAACAUCUCGAUAGAUUCUUUAUUUUUAACAAGCAUUUUUGUACAUAAUAAAGAGCAUCUUUAAAUUGUAAAAUUUUCAGCAAACUCCAAUAAGCUGUUUAUUUUUGCUCUUUAUUUUACAUUUUCCAACAAUCAUUCAUUUUUUCUCUCCCAGUUUUCACUAAACAUAUAUUCUUAAAUUUCAAUAACCUGAAUAUUCAAAGAUAAAUUAAAUUAUUUAUUUAUUUAAGUAAUGGACUUGGAAACUUGCAAUUUAUUAAAUGUAGUCAUUAUACAAUACAAAUUGAGAGUUAGUUUGACUCCCCCAAAUGUAGAGAGCCUCACUCACUCACUCACUCACUAUUCAAAAAAGUUAAAAUGAAGAGCUUAUUGGAACCCAAUUUCAAGAUUUGGCUCUCUAAAUUAGAAAGCAUCUUAUGUUUAAUGAGUUUAUUGAAGAUGCUUUGAGAAUGCAUCAUAAGAUUCAACACUGACUCAAAAUUUUAGAUGCAAUGGGAGAGGAACAGAAGAAAGGUGCCAAAUAAUGAAAUGUGGACUGUAUUAUGAAUCUGAGAUGAUAAAAACUGCAGACCUGUAUUCACCCCAAGGCAAUGCAGUAAACCAAUCAAGAUAAUUACGUGUCACAUUAAAUUCACUCGAACUAGAUUCCAAUAAUUGCAAAUUUAUCAAUUCUUCUUCUAUGACUUGCAAAACGUGAGGUGCGAGUUUAUCCUUCUUUGGGUAAAGCCUUUCCCUGAACAUUGCAGCAGUAUUUCAGAAACCAAUGCCAAUGAACAAGUUGUCAUCAAUUUAUAAAUAAGAUCCUUGUUUGUGGAGUAAAAGCAGUAAAAAGGCAAAAAUCACUUGAAACUAAAAAGCACAGAUCAAGAUUAGCAACAAAUUUCAACUUAACACAGAUUUUUGGGGAAAAAAAUGACUUUUAUUAUAGUAACCUUUGGAGAAUGUAUGGUUAAAAAAAAAGGAGUAAAAUUAUUUUACUCGGAGAAUGUGCCAUCGAAAAAUGAAUUUGGGAGAAAAAUGAAUUUUUAGAUAAUGGGGUUCAAACGAAGGCAUAAGUUCAUACCUAUCUUCAGCGAGAAAAUAUUAGUCAUGGAUUAAUCAAGAGAAAAAAUUAAUAAUUGACACCGAUUUAAAGCAGAUUUUUAGCAGUAAAGAAAAAUAACAAACUGAUUUUUAAAGCAGAGAUUAUGUUGCUAAUCUUCUCGUACCAGUUACUAGAAAAAAAUUUAUGUUCACAACCUUCUUCUAGCCUAAUGUGUUACAACCCAAUUUUUCUUAGUCAAAAACCAAAAAUUAACUAGUAACAAAGUCAAUUAAGGACUAAAAUAAAAUAAGAUAUUUUAAUGGGGUUUAUUUUAUAAUUGGCAAUAUAUGAGGGUUAAAUUGGAUUCAAUUUAAAGCUUGGAAUUUACUUUUAUAUUAAGGGAAGCUAGAAGGAUUAAAUUUUAUAUUAAAUGGAGUUGAAGGACCUCCCUUGCAAUUUUUAGUUAGUGGGUCUUUAUAUACCUUUGACCCAUUAUUUUUUCUCUCCAAACACACACACACACACACACUAGAGAAAACGUUUUCUGGGUCGAGAAAGACCGAGAGGAAAAGAGAAGGAAAGAAAGAGAGAAAAAUGAAGGGAAGAAGAAGAAGAAGAAGAGUUCAAGCUAGGGUUCUCAACUUCUUCAAUUUCUCUUUUGAUUUAGAAUGGUAAGUAUUAAGUAUAUUGAAUUAAUUUUUUUUAAGGGUUAUGAGAAAUUUGCUUUAAUUCAAAGUUUGGCAAGAAUCAUGUGUUAUUGAUAUGUAUUUGAUGUUAUAAAUAAGGAUAUAGCAAAGAAAUAUUUAUUUGGAUGUUGAUGUUGAAGAAAGCGGAAACUUUGGAAAUGGGUUUGUGAGAUAAAUGCAUAUUCUUUGAAAUUAUUGUGAUUAUAUGAUGCUAAACACUUAAAUUAAGGAUUUGAGUUUGAAAUUCUCCAAAUUUUCAGCCAUUUUCGAGCUAUUGUACUAUAGGUGCUAUUUUUGAAAAUCUGCCCGUAUAAGCACUAUUUCUGUCCAUGCUAUUAUGGGCUCAUUAUAUAGUUGGUAUCUUUAGUAUAUUUGAUUAUUGUUGAGUGUAAAGCAAGUAAAUGUCGAUUUACCAACAUUUUAUUUGAAUAGUUUGCAUUUUGAGGGACUAUCUUAUCCUAUUCAUAUUAUAGGUAUUAAUUUGAAGAAAAUUGAUUAUUGUUCAGGUGAUUUUAGUUUAUAUUUCAGGGAAAACUCUGUCAAAAUUUUGUUAAAAUAUUUCCCAAUCAAAUAAGUCAAGAUUGCCUUGGUGGUGGGUCUAGCGUUCAGCUGGUAACUAUCAUCGGCGCACGACAAGUGUCGAGUCCACUAAGAUGAUUCGGGACGGGUCAUGUCAUAAUGUGAAAUGCACACACACACAAUCCAUGUAUAAACAUAUACAAAUCACUAAUAUAAUAUCACACAUGUUCAUCUCAGCCUAUAAAAUUCCAUCAAGGCAUAUUCGGACAGAUUCCAACCAAAGAAAAGAAGGGUGGUAAAGGAGUAAAAACCAGAGAAACUCAAAGAGAUUUCUUAAUCUUUUAAUUGCAUUCUCUGUGCCACUUGAAAUUCCUUUAUUAUCCAACGUAAAGCAACGGGUGCAAGUCCGACAGUACGCACCCAUCAUGCGACAAUCUGUUUUAGCAAAUGUGUCUGUCUUCUUGCACAUCAAGCAUCUGUGUUCAAGUUAUGAGCAUAGUAUCUUCAAACAUUAUUAUACAUCUGUCCCUUCCCAAGACAAAACAAGGGAACAAGCAAAUCACAAGUGAAAAAUCAUUGAUAACAUAUCAAAUGACAUUGCCAUUCAUCAUAUUCGCAAUAUACCAAAAACAUUAUUAUCAGAAUCAUGCCUAACGUCAGCUGGACCAUUUUUCAGCCUGGCAGCCUUUUCCCUAGAUGCUGAUAGUUAUUUUUAAAGUGUAUGCUGACAUGUUAAUGCCACAAGACCAGAUAAAAAAUGGUAGCAAAUGCCCAAAAAAAAGGCCCGUUUAGUACAUUAUUGUCUAAAGAAAAGAAAAAAUUAGGUACAAAGAAAGAGAAGUAGGCAUCAUAUUGGAAUUGAGAUGACUUGUAUUUCUAGUGAAUCAUCAUUUAGCUAACAGGGAUGCAGCGGAACACCUUUCAAGACUAAAAAGGGACUUGCGAACUAACAUGACAUUUGCCAUAAAAACCUAACUAAAAUGAAAAAAAAAAAUAGUCCAAAUUCAAAAUAAAAAUUUCUGGUAUAAUAAUUCACAUAAAAUAUCUCUUGCUUUAUUCAAUAAUAAUAAUAAUAAAUAAAUAAAGACAGGAAAAAUAAAAGUUCUAUUUUCUUCAAUUUUGGCCUCGAAGCUGAAACCAUUCUGUGUUUAAGAAAAAUAGGUAUUUAAACAUAGGUAUAUUCCUAUCACCAUAGAUUCUAAAAGGAGAAAACAGAACAAUAGAUAGUUACGAAAGGCUCGAUAUUAUGCACCCAACAAUUGUAAAUCAUGAGGCAUCCAACUAGACAUCAUGAAUUAGUACUGCCAAGCACUCAGUAGGUUCAAAUGUUUGAGGUAUAAUGCAAGUACUAACACAGCUCUUGCAUCACAACAAAGCAACAAAGAUACAAGGCAGAACACCAACUGUAAGUUAUGCAGAAGAAGGCAUACCAAAAACAGUGGUUUUGUCGUCAGUCUCUAAUCCUAAUUCCUGCACAAUGCAAAUAAAUUUGUUAUUAGAUAAUUCCCAAAUCAUCUCAUGACAUCUAAACUAUUCAAACAGACAUACAGCAAGAACAGAGUCUUCAAUAACUCUUAGAAAAUGUAUAUUAUAAAGUAAGCAAAUCAUAAUGCUAAAGUAACAUGCUUUCUUUAUGACCUUCAGUUGCCAUUCAACAAGUAUCGUCGCUGCUCUCCACUUUUCUUCAAUUGCCUUUGCUAUUGAUUCCUAAGUACUGCCAAAAAGUAGUGAAGAUUAAAUGAAUAGGGAACAGCAAUUGAGAGUGCCAGAAUUGAUCUCUAGUCCAGACAGAUAUACCUGGAUCUUACUAAUCUCCAUCUCCUCCUUCACUAACUCCAGAGUAAGUUUUAGUCGAUGAUGAACUUGAAUUUCAAGAUCGUGACGAGCAUCAGAAAUAUGGAAGGUAGAAACUUUGACGGGGAUAAUACAGUCUUAUUACAAGAAAGCAACAACCCCUUAGCUCCAGGCCCAAAGUGUGGGGACAAAAUGAAUGUCCUUAUUGUCCUAUUGUCAAAUAUUAUCGAAGAAUGAAAUAAAACAUCUUUGUCCGGAGCACCUUGAACAAGCAACUCAAGAUAAAAUAAUAACUAAUUCCAUAACAGGGCAAAAUUUAUAUUGUAGCUUUCCUUUAUAUGGUACAAAAUUUUCUAGCUUUCUACCAUUUCAAAUUAGGAAAUUCAUCAAGGGGCAAGGGAUAAGGGAUGCAUUUAAGUUGAUAACAAAUCUCAAAAAAUAGAUUAUUUAAUCUUGUAGCGAUUCCGAGAUCUUAUAAGACUACGAGAUGCUGAAAACCCACAGGUGGGUGAUGCUAAGACCAAAAGUUACAAUGUUACUCUUCUAGGUAGAAUUGGAGGCAGAUUCUAGAAAAACUAGAAGCUUCAUUCUCAGAAAAAUGUUGUCGAUAAGGCUGUAGACUACUUACAUCUAGUUCUUCAAGAACUUGCUGGCACUGUGAUUUGUUUGCGCCUGAUAUUGCAGCUCCAAAAUUUGCUAAUCUUGGAUAAAAUCACAUAUAUGCUGCAGAUAUUGAGAAGUGAAGAGGUAGCAUAGAUACUACAUGUAGACAAAACCAAUUGAAAAACUUCAACUUAAUUGUGAUAUUGUCAUGUUCAAUUUAGGCGAUAGAUUCCUUUGUUAAGUAAAAGUACAACAUUCUUGUGAUAAAAGGGAUGUUACACUGUCCUUCCAAAGUACAAAAAAUGCAAUUAUUUAUGCAUGAAAUUAGUGAAUCAAAUAUCUUAAAAUAAAAAAAUCUUUCAUGAGCACAAUCAUGGACUAUCUUUCGAACAGCAGUUAGUAUCAUACAUGACCUCAGACCUCAUAAACAGCAAAAGAAAGGAAUCAAAUAGUUGAUAAGAAUAAUUUGCAAAUAUAUAAUAGGAAAAGCAUGGAAAUAUUCUUCUUGAGGUGUAUAAAUAAGUAGAAAAAAUAUUUGUGAGGUAAUUAAAGGAGAUGAAAAUAUAAAGAAACGAGCAGAACUUUAUACCUACAAAAAUCAUGAAUGAAGAAAGAGUCAUACAAACCAUCUCUGUCAUUCGAAGUCGCCUGUGACCAAUAAGAACCACCUGAUCUCCUUGGAUGCUUGUAAUCUAAAAUCAUUAAGCCAGCUUGAUGAAUCAAAGAAGUUUUUUACCACAGAUAUAUAACUUCAACAAUAACUUAACGAAACUAAACGAAAGAGAAUUACCCGAGCUAGCGUACCACCUUCAUGGAGGCGAUUAAAUAACUCUUUUCCUUUGAGAUCGUAUAUAUUUUCCUCAUCUAUACCAUCAGUUACUGCCUCAUCUUUAAGUAGGAAAGCACCAGCAUAAGGGCCUUGCGGUUUUCUACUCUCUACUAAAGCUUCUAGCAAUCCUACAGAAAAAUGGUAUGUACAAGAAGGGUCACAGACCAGCUCACUAGUUACUAAGAAUAUUAGUAGAGUUUAUUUUACCUUCAUCUUAUAUAAGAUAUAAAAACACCAUUUAGGAAAAAAAAGGCUUUCAAUUUUUCACCACUUCUUUCUUGUAUCAAAAGAAAUUCUAUAAUUUAGACAAGCACUAUUUGUAAAAAGCUAAAGUAAGCAGAUAGGAUAUAAAAGACAAAUUACAGAGAGCAAGCCAUGUUGCUUGAACUCGGGUGUGGGUGUCCGAUGCAUAUCUAGGAGUCAGAUUUUUUCUCUCUAAAAUCUAGGAUACGAAAUAGAGCUAAAAAAAUUCAAAAUUUAGACAUGAGCAUGUGGAUAUGUCUUAUAUUGCAUAUUUAACCGUAAAUCUAAAAUAAAUUAAAUUGCAAGUUGUGAUACUUCUUUUGAAAUUUCAUUUCAAGUCUAGAAAUGUAAAAUACAAACUAGAAAUCUUUAUAAAUACAAUACCAAAUUAACAAAAAUGAUAUAAAGGACACUCUUUUGCUUUAAAGGAUCCGAGAAGGAUCCCUUGUCAUGUGUGUCCAAUAUAGGCAAUUCCUCUCAAAUGGAGAGUCCAAAUAAGCGUGUUCAGAAUUUAAUGACAAAAAAAUCAUAGCAUGAUUACAUAAAGAAUGGUGCACACAAGGUAUCCCUUGAAAUACUAUGAAAUUAUAUAUUAGUAAAUUAUCAGUACAUCCAUCAGAACUUGAACUUACAAGAAUUGUGCACACCAGGUAUCCCUUGAAAUACUAUGAAAUUAUAUAUUAGUAAAUUAUCAGUACAUCCAUCAGAAUCUGAACUUACAAGAAUUGCCUUGUAAAUCUGAUGCUAGUUAAUCAAUAAAGUUAUGGCACAGAGAAGUAAUAUUGAAUACGAGAUGUUAAAAACAAAAUAUCAAAUGAAGUACUCAACCAUAAGUAGCCAUACCUUCACAUAAAUAGGCACAUAAAAUCCAGGAAUAAUGGUCUAUGUGGCAGAGGUAAUGCUAUAACCUGCACAAGUAAAAGAAAUCUCGAUUAUUAAAUAUCUUUAAAAAUAAGAUGGAACAACAAAUACCAACUAAUCUCUUAACAUAAUCUAAUGAUUUUCAUCCUUUCUAAUAUAUAAUUCAAUAACAGAAAAUCUGAUACAAAUGAAGAUAUUUGCUUCUUGUUUGGGACCCCGCAGCAUUUUGAUAAGCCUCCCAUACGGGUCACUUAUCAACGACGUCACAAGAAGAGCAUGAAAAGAAGUUAGAAGGAAUAUUAGUUGUUAGAUCUAUUAAGUCAUGUGGUUACGAGUCUAUAAAUAGUGUAGGCAAAGGCUGAAAUAGGCAUUCAAAAAAGAGGGAAAAUCUGAAUCACUUAGGAGAGUGGCAGCUCUCGAAACCAGCCUUGUUAUUUUCUUAAUCCAUUCCUUGUUCAAUUUCAUUCAGUUAAAUAAAAUUCUUAUUCUAAUUCUGAUUGUGUGUUUGAUCAGUCCAGAGUUUCGUUGUAAUUGGGCCAGUUAUUCAUCGGGUUGUCAGCAGGUUCUAACAUUUUGGUAUUAGAGCACUUGAGAUUCUGGGAAAUGAAUGCCGGUUACAAGGAUGGACCAUCGAAUUGAAGCAUUAGAGGAUGCGGUAGAACAGAUUCCACCAUUGGGUAAUUCCAUGGUUGAAUUGAAAGGAGACUUGGAGCACUUGAACGCAAGGCUGGGGAUGGAGCUGGGCAAAUUGAAUGAUAAGAUCGAAGCAAGUCUAGCAAUGAGCCGGAAGGAAUUAAACGAGGACCUUCAGAUAUCGGCGAAGGGGAUACCACAGGAAUCCACCAGCGUGACUGAAGCAGGUAGUGAAAUGAAGUCUACUGCCUCUAUCACUAAAAUUACCGGAUCGGAACCCAGAGCCACUGAGAAUACAAUCGUUUCUGUUGCUGAAGAUAACUUUCGAAAACUGGAGCUACCGCUAUUUAAUGGGGUCGAUCCGGACUCCUGGAUAUUCCGCGCUGAGAGGUAUUUCAGCAUAAACAAGUUAUCGGACACCGAGAAGGUGAUGGCAGCUGGGGUGUGUAUGUAAGGAAGUGCCCUAUCCUGGUUUCAAUGGGAAGAUGGAAGGCGGCCUAUACGCAGUUGGGUGGAGCUUAAACAGAGGCUAUUAGAGAGGUUCCGUGAUACCCAGUAUGGAACCCCACACCAACGGUUCCUUAUGAUCAGACAGACAGGAACUGUUGCAGAGUAUAGGGAAAAGUUUGAAGUAAUGUUUGCUCCCCUGAUGAAUGUAAGUGAGGACACACUAGAAGGAGUCUUCAUUAAUGGGCUGGAAGAAGAAGUGCAGGCAGAAGUAUUGAUGGUGAGACCGGCAGGACUUUCACAAAUCAUAGAUAUGGCACAACGAGUGGAGGGUAGGAACAAUUGGAUCAACAAGGCGAAGGAGCGAGAACGCCCACAAAUUCGGGGUGUAACUGCUCUGAUUCCAACUAGGGCUGAAAAUCGGACAAUUCCUUGGGGCUUGAGUAAGGGAACCAUUGUACAGGACAAAGGUGGAGGAAUGGGUUCAGGAAGCUCUACUGUAGGGUUCAAAAGACUAACCCAGGUUGAGAUUCAAGCAAAAAAGGACAAGGGCUUAUGUUCUCGAUGCGACGAAAAGUUUCAUGUUGGGCAUAAGUGUUGCAAUAGGAAACUACAAGUGCUGUUGGUGGAUGAAGAGGAGCAAAACGGGGCAGGAGGGGAGUGUUACCUCUCCUAAGACUAUGAAGGUGAGAGGAACGAUGGAAGGGUAGGAUGUAGUUGUACUAAUUGAUUCCGGGGUUACGCACAACUUCAUGUCAUGGGAAUUAAUUAAGAAACUCAAUCUGUCAAUAACGGAGACCAGUAGAUAUAGGGUACAAGUGGGAACUGGUAUGGCAAUUAAAGGAGAAGGGAAAUGUAGGGGAGUGGCAUUAUACAUGCAGUCCAUAUUAGUGGUGGAGGAUUACUUACCGAUAGACCUGGGAAGCUCGGACAUAAUACUUGGAAUGCAGUAGCUUAGCACCUUGGGCAAGGGUUCAAGUUAACUGGAAGUCAUUGGAGAUGAGAAUUCCUCUGGGAAAUAGCACUAUCACUCUGAAAGGAGAAGGGUUGAGCAAAUCAUUGGUCUCACUAAAAUCAAUGAUCAAAACCUUACAUAAGGAGAGAGAAGGGAUUGUAAUGGAGCUGUGCUCGGUUCAAGUGGAUGAGCAACCUGUUGAAUUGGAUAUUCCACUGCCGGUGCAGGAGUUGAUAGUGAAGUAUAGGGCGGUAUUUGAAUCACCAGUAGGGUUGCCUCCUCUCAGAGGUCAUGAGCAUGCAAUCACUCUGAAGGAAGGAAGUGAACCCAUUAGUGUAAGACGCUACAGAUACCCCUAUGCACAAAAGGCUGAGAUUGAGAAACUAGUAACUCAAAUGCUGAAGGCAGGAAUAAUUCAAGCAAGUAGUAGUCCUUUUUCUAGUCCGAUACUGUUAGUGAAGAAAAAGGAUGGGGAUGGAGAUUUUGUGUAGAUUAUCGGGCCUUAAAUCGAGCUACCAUACCUGAUCGCUUCCCAAUUUCGGUUAUUGACGAGUUGUUAGAUGAACUCAUGGCACCACCAUCUUUUCCAAACUGGAUUUGAAAUUAGGGUAUCAUCAAAUACACCUUAAGGCUGGAGAUGAAUACAAAUCUGCCUUUCGAACUCACGAGGGGCAUUACGAAUUUUUCGUAAUGUCGUUUGGGCUUACUAAUGCCCCAGCAACAUUCCAAUCUUUGAUGAAUAAACUAUUCAAGGGGCUACUAAGGAAAUGUGUAUUAGUUUUCUUUAAUGACAUCCUAGUCUACAGUCGGCACAUUGGAGGAACAUUGUGAACAUUUAAGGAUGGUAUUUGAUGUCUUACAGGAGCGGCAAUUGUAUGCAAAUCGAAAGAAAUGUGAGUUUGGAUGCACUACCUUGGAAUACAUGGGGCACUUAAUUAGGUCGCAAGGAGUGUCAGCUAACCAAAAGAAAAUUCAGGUCAUGCAGUCACGGCCGUUACCCAAGGACCUGAAAGAAUUAAGGGGGUUCUUGGGGUUAACGGGAUAUUACCGAAGAUUUGUGGAAGGAUAUGGACAAAUAGUUGAACCACUCACCAGACAUCUGAACAAAGAUAGCUUCCACUAGGAUCAAGAAGCUAAUAUAGCCUUUCAGAAGUUGAAGAAUGCCAUCACAGAAGUUCCAGUUUUGGCACUGCCCAAUUUUCCUAGGCGGCCACUCAGGGGUACUAAAGUCAUAUAAAAGGUUGUCCAAGGAGCUAUUUUGGACAGGGAUGAAAAAAGAUAUUCAGAAAUUCGUAGAGGCCUACUUGGUUUGCCAGCAAAACAAAUAUUUAGCUGUCACCAGCUGGGCUAUUACAACCUUUACCUAUACCAGAAGCAAUAUGGGAGGACAUAACUAUGGAUUUUAUAAAAGGAUUGCCGAAGUCUCGAGGUUGGGACACAGUGUUGGUUGUGGUGGAUAGGUUGAGUAAAUAUGCUCAUUUUUUGACAUUGAAGCAUCCUUUUACUGCUAAGACGGUAGCCGAAUCAUUUAUUCGAGGAGUGGUUAGACUUCAUGGAUUUUUCCACUCAAUAGUAACGGACAGGGAAAAGGUUUUUCUCAGUUUGCCUGGUCCAAACUUUUUGUCUCCAAGGUACUAAACUGAAUCGAAGCACGGCCUAUCACCCCCAAACUGAUUCCGGUCAAUCAUUGUUUGGAGACCUACCUAAGAUGCUUCGCUAACAGCCAUCCCCGUUCAUGGUCUGAUUGGAUUCCUUAGGCAGAGUUCUAGUAUAACUCCUCGUUUCACACAUCCACUAAAACUACUCCGUUUAAGGCUGUUUAUGGGAGGGAUUCUCCUUCUGUCAUACGUUAUAGAUCACAACACACACCUUUGGCUGAUCUUGACCGAAAAUUACAACAACGUGAUGAGAUGAUUGGCAUCUUGAAGUCCCAACUAGAAAGGGCUCAUUCCAGAAUGAAGAAGGUAGCAGAUAGUGGGAGAAGAGCAGUUCAAUUUCAAGAAGGCGAUUUGGUUUAUCUGAAACUCCAGCCAUACAGGCAGAAGUCCUUGGCUAAACGUGCUAAUGAAAAAUUAUCUCCAGAUUCUUUGGUCCUUAUACCGUCAUCCAGAAGGUAGGGGCAGUGGCUUACAAACUCCAACUACCAGCAGAGUCCAAUAUACAUCCGGUGUACCAUGUCUACAGUUGAGGAAGGCAGUGGCCUCUACUACCUCAGUCUAACCCCUUCCCGCACUUCUCAAUCCAGAAUUAGAGUGGAAGGCACAACCAGCAAAAGUGUUGGGGAUUAGGCCAGCAAGUGAGCUGGGUAAUGAAAUGCCAGAAGUACCGAUUCAAUGGCAGGACCUUCCCCCUUUUGAAGCAUCAUGGAAACCCUUUGAGCUCAACAACUCUCAAUUUUCGGAAUUCCACCUUGGGGACGAGGUGCUUGCUUUAGCGGGGGGUAUUGAUAAGCCUCCCAUAUAGGUCAAUUAUCAACGACGUCACAAGAAGAGCAUGGAAGGAAGUUAGAAGGAAUAUUAGUUGUUAGAUCUGUUGAGUCAUGUGGUUACGAGUCUAUAAAUAGUGUAGGCAAAGGCUGAAAUAGGCAUUCAGAAAAGAGGGAAAAUCUGAAUCACUUAGGAGAGGGACAGCUCUCGAAACCUGCCUUGUUAUUUUCUUAAUCCAUUCCUUGUUCAAUUUCAUUCAGUUAAAUAAAAUUCUUAUUCUAAUCCCGAUUGUGUGUGUGAUCAAAUAUCUUAAAACAAAAAAUCUUUCAUGAGCAUGAUCAUGGCCUAUCUUUAAAAAGGAUUCGCAGUUAGUAUCAUAUAUGACCUCAGAUCUCAUAACACAGCAAAAGAAAGGAAUUAAAUAGUUGAUAAUCAGUUAUGUGCAUUCAGGCAUACAAGUGCAUUUUAGGCAUGUACACCAAAAAGUUCAAUUGUAUUAGGAAGGUGAUGUGUAAAACAUCUGCAUAACUUCAUUCCAAUUAACAUAGUUUGGAAGCAUUCAAAAACAAAGGCUGGAGAAUUGAGCUAGUACAACACCUCAAUGUGAUUCAAAGUAGUGAUUCUGUCACUAGAAUAGACCUUUUAUAUCAAAUUUAAACAAAUAUAAGCGUGUGCAUUCAUACAAGUGCAAAUUUUUUACUGUGUUAUUCUGCAUACAGAAAAAGAAAAGAAAAAAAAUCAGAAAAAGGAAAAAUUAUACCUGAGUACAAGUUUGUACAUGAUCGCGCCAAAGAGAAAUAGUUUUCAAAACAUCUCUAAAAGAUGAUAUAACUUCAAAUGACGUUGCCUUAGAAACAUUGUCAUCCUUAUCAUAAGGCUUUUCCUAAAAGAUAUGAGAACAGAAGUCCUCAGAAGUUCAUUUUACAAAUUUGGAUUAUUAUAUGAACUAUUCACACGAGAGAUCUGCACACACCUUGAGAUGAUCGACCUUGACCAUAAGAGGAUUCUCACUAACCUGCACAAGACAAUUAUUUCAGUUGUGCAUCUAUAGCACAGAGAUGGAUAAAGCUAUUAAUUUGCGAAAAUAUACCAACAACAUGGAAAAAUUCUGCUUGAGGUGCAUAAAUAAGUAGAAAAUAUAUUUGUAAGGUAAUUAAAGGAGAUGAAAAUAUAAAUAAACAAGAGAAGAACUUUAAAUCUACAAAAUCAUGAAUGAAGAAAGAUCCUACAAACCAUCUCAGUUAUUCAAAGUUGUCGGUGACCAAUAAGAACCAACUGAUCCCCUUGGAUGCCUGUAAUCUGAGAUCAUCAAGCUCGCUUGAUGAAUCAAAGAAGUUUUUUACCACGGAUAUAUAACUUCAAACAAUAACUUAACAAAGAUAAAAGAACGAGAAUUACUGAGCUAGCGUACCAACUUCGUGGAGAAGAUUAAAUAACUCUUUUCCUUUGAGAUCGUACAUAUUUUUCUCAUCUGUAUUCUCAGCUACUGCCUCAUCUUUAAGUAGGAAAGCACCAACAUAAGGUGCUUACCAUUUUCUACUCUCUACUAAGGCUUCUAACAACUUUGGGUCCUGCAGAAAAGGGUAUGUACAGAAGGAUAGGCAGAUCAGCUCUCUUCUAGUUACUAAGAACACGAGCAAAGUUUAUCUUACCUUCAUCUUAUAUAGAAAAACCAUUUAAAAAAUAAUAAUAAGAUAAAAGCUUUCAACUUUUCACUUCUUUCAUUUAUCAAAAGAAAUUCUAAAAUUCCAACAAGAACUAUUUGUAAAAAGUUAAAAGCUAAAGCAAGCAGAUAGGAUAUAAAAGACAAAUUACAGAGAGUAAUCCAUGUUCCUUGGACUCGGGUGUGGUGUCCGAUACAUAUCGAGGAAUCCGAUCAUUUUUCUCUCUCUAAAAUCUAGGAUACGAGAUUCAGCUAAAAAAAGAUCCAAAAUUUAGACACGGGCACAUGGAUUCAUCUUAUGAUGUAUAUUUAACCAUAAAUCUAUGAUAAAUUAAAUUGCAGGUUGUGAUUCUUUUUUUGAAAUUUCAUUUCAACUCUAGAAAUGUGAAAUACAAACUAGAAAUCGUUUUAAAUACAAUACCAAAUUAACAAAAAUGAUAUAAAGGACCCUCUUUUAUUUUAAGGGAUCCAAGAAGGAUAUCUUGUCGUGCAUGUCCGAUACACGUAAGAACUUCUAAAAUUCCAACAAGUACUAUUUGUAAAAAGUUAAAAGCUAAAGCAAGCAGAUAGGAUAUAAAAGACAAAUUACAGAGAGCAAUCCAUAUUGCUUGGACUCGGGUGUGGUAUCCGAUACAUAUCUAGGAGUCCAAUCAUUUUUCUCUCUCUAAAAUCUAGGAUACGAGAUACAGCUAAAAAAAAAUGAUUCAAAAUUUAGACACGAACAAUUCCUUGCGAUCAGACAGACAGGAACUGUUGCAGAGUAUAGGGAAAAGUUUGAAGUAGUGUCUGCUCCCCUUGCUCCCCUGAUGAAUGUAAGUGAGGACACACUAGAAGGAGUCUUCAUUAAUGGGCUAGAAGAAGAAGUGCAGGCAGAGGUAUUGAUGGUGAGACCGGCAGGACUUUCACAAAUCAUAGAUAUGGCACAACGAGUGGAGGAUAGGAACAAUUGGAUCAACAAGGCGAAGGAGCGAGAACGCCCACAAAUCCGGGGUGUAACUGCUCUGAUUCCAACUAGGGCUGAAAAUCGGACAAUUCCUUGGGGCUCGAGUAAGGGAACCAUUGUACAGGACAAAGGUGGAGGAAUGGGUUCGGGAAGCUCUACUGUAGGGUUCAAAAGACUAAACCAGGUUGAGAUUCAAGCAAAAAAGGACAAGGGCUUAUGUUCUCGAUGCGACGAAAAGUUUCAUGUUGGGCAUAAGUGCCGCAAUAGGAAACUACAAGUGCUGUUGGUGGACGAAGAGGAGCAAAACAGGGCAGGAGGGGAGUGUUCCGAAGAGAUGACUGAUUGUAACGAGCUGGAGGGUGUAGAGUUAUCAAUGAAUUCUGUGGUUAGGAUAAUUAAAGAAUUUUGUACUUGUUAUUCAAUUCUUUGAAAUUUAAUUUCUUCUUUGAGAAAUUAAAUGUGCUCUUUCUUGAAAUUAAUGUUGUUAAUAAUUUUUGAAACAAAUUCUUGUUUCAAAGAAUUAACAUCCUUAUAAAAUGGAGGAUUUGUGUAUUUGAAAAAUAUUUCUGACCAAAGAUGCUGGUUGUUGAACCUUUUGAGUCUACUUGAAAAGGAUAAAUUGAAACAAUGAAAGGAGUACAAAGUAUGACUUCUUAGUUUAAAUCUUUGACUAAAUAGAAGAUAUUUUUGAAACAAAUAUUGGAAUUACAAACAUGUGCCUUUGAAAGUUUGUAUUGAAAGUUGAGUUUUUCACCACUAACACCAUAAAAAAAUGCUCAGUAGCUUUUUAAAAAUAUUUUACGGGGCACCAGAAUCAGUUAAAACCAUGGAGGAGAAUUUGAAUUCUUUAUUGAUCACAAUGGUCAUAGUGCAGUACCACUUUUGAAGUUGAAUACUGCCACAUGACUUAUGCAGUGUGAUUUUACACUGCAAGUGCAGUGUAAAAUUUUAUAAUAUAGCUUUGAAAUACGAGUGUCGAACCCUCAGGGAUUGAUAUUUGAAUCUCAUCAAGUACUAUAAUUAUUUUAACUUUCACUUUAUUUAGACAAUCGAUUUUUGAAAUGAUGUUUUAUUGCUAAAUUAAAAUAAAUGGGAUGAACAAUGCAAAGUGAACAAGGGUAAUUUGUAAAGUUUCUUAUCAAAUUAUGAAUGCCUAGAUAGUGAUUUCAUCAUACUAUCGACAAUGUUUUUCAACCAUUAUAACUAUUUCUAUCAAUCGUUCCAAAAUUUAUAGGCAAUAACACUAAAUUGAUUACAUUUCCCUCUCUCGAGCGCCAAAAGGAAUCUAUUUCUAUAUUUUAAUUUCAAUAUCUCGAUUUCGAACUAAAACAUAAAAAUCAUCAAGCACGUGGUUCUUAAUUGAAAUAAGCCUUAAAGAUUUAGCAUUUUCUCUCAAAACUUGCAAAAUCUAGGUUAUGUUAUCUUAGAUCACGACUAAAUUUCUCUCUCUCGAGUGCCAAAAUUUAAAGCAUCAAAUCAUUCAAUUAGUGACCAGUUAAUUGAAAGGAUUGCGCAAGAAUCGACAUAAAUAAAUAAGCAGAAAUAUUAAAUGUUAUAAUUAUAUCGAAAUCAAAACAUGUCUACAUAGGUUACAUCAAACCCUACAAUUAAUGUUUAGUUUAUGAAGAAAGAAUUAAAUCUAAACAAAUUGAUGAUUAACAUAAAGAGGGGAAAAAAACUCUUUUGAAGCUUUUAAUUGGAGUUCCCCUUGAUGUUCUUCAUGCAUCCUUGUCCUUGAUGAAUUGUUUGUUGCAUUGUCUUCAAUCUUGCCCUUCAAUUGUUGUGUUUGGCCCCUUCAAUUCUUCUCAAAAAUAGGGUUUUUUGAAUGGCAUUUAUAGUAUGUUAGGGUCUUGGACGAAUUAGGGUUGAAAUGGGCCAAGAAAAAAGUCAAAAAAUAUUUAAAAAAAAAGAAGCAUUUUCCCGCAUAUCCAGCACCUCAGAACCCAAGAUAGGUGCCGAGGUACCGGGCUUGCUAUUAUUUUCAAUGAGUUGGGCACUGCAGUGCCCAAAUUGAGGCGUCCGAUUGGGUUGAAAACGACAGAUUGCGCGUAUUUAAGUACUUAUAGCAUAACUUUCUUCUACAAUAUUCGAUUAAGGUGAUUCAAGAUGCGUUAGAAAGCUAACUCCAAGGGCUACAGCUUUACUUCAGACAUUGUUCUCCAAUUCGAUUGUUUACUAUGUCAAAAAUCGGUCUCAAUGUGAGGCUGAAAUUUAAGAGCAUAACUUUUCGAUUGAAAAUUGAUUUGUGGCCAUAUUUUGCCUUAAUUUGAUCCCUUUGACAUCUUUCUUCAUCCAAUUGACUCCUAAUACUCUCUGAUCUUUAUCGUGAGGUUCGACACAACUUUUAAAUAUUUACACUUUAGUCCCCAAACUUUGGAUCUCUUACAAUUUAGCAUUUUCUCCAACUUAGCCAACUUUUGCUUAUUUCAUUUAAUUUCAUCAACCUAUAUCACAACAUCAAAACACACAUUAUAACGUUCUAAAACACUCUCAAUGGCAACAAAAUAAUGAAUUAAGUGGUACGAAUAUAAUGAGUAUGGAGCACUCAUCAAAUACGAUUGAUAACCUUAAUUUUUUUCUUAUUCUAUAUGAGAGGCUUCAGGAGAGGUGUGAAAAGUUUCUUCUUCUAAAGAAUCAUUAUUGGAAUGUCUUCUUGUUUUAUAUUUUUAGGGGGUGUUUGAUAGCUAUUUUUAUGUAAAAAUGCAUUUUAGAAUAGUAAAUUGAUGUGAAAUGUAUGGUUGAGAAAUAAGGAAAAGUUUUUUAUUUACGUGUAAUAUUAUUUUAUUAAAGAAUGUGUAGUUGAAAAGAAGAGAGAGAAAAAUGCAUUUUGAAAAAAAUGGCUACCAAAACGGGGCCUUAGUUUUCGGAGAAUAACUUUUAUACGGACAUCUUUCAUUUGACGUUCAAGAACAACAAUUUGAGAUUUCCUCGCCUUAAUUUCUAAUUUUAAUUCAGAACUAGAAGAUUUUGAAGAUGUGGAUUCAGUAUUGAGCAUAUUUAAUAUACCCUUUAUAUUAAAUGGUGUUGCCGACAUUUUGGAAGUAGAAGGUAGAAGAAGAGAGAAUUUCUUCUUUAAUUGAGGAUCUUCUAUUUUCUCAAUUAUUUCUUGAAUAAGUUCUUCUUCUUUGGUAAGGAUAUUUAUGGUUUUACAACCACUAACUUCCUUAGCUUGACUUGAAGUAGAAAAAGGGGAACUUGAGCUGGUCUCAACGCCACAGUCUUCCUGAUGCAUGUAAACUUGCUUGAGUUCAAAAUUAGAAUCUUCACCUAAACUAGAAUUGAGUAGAUUAAGAAGUUCAAAUUUAAUAUCUUCUUCUAUUUGAAGAUUAUUAAUCUUUCCCUUCAUAGGACAUUUAUUUGAUCAACAACUAUUUGUUUGCACUUCCAACAGGUAAUGUUUGAAGUUUUAGGAAUUAUUUUCCUUGAAAAAUUUCUUUUUGAAUAUUUGGGAGGAUAAGAUUGAGAAAUAUUUUGUAUUUGAAAAGAUCAUUUUCUUAAAAAGUAAGGAAAACUUUUCUUUUACAAUCUUGAAGAAGGGGGAACAUUUUUUCCAAACCAUAUUGAUCAUCGGAUGAUCCAAGUUCUUUUUGACUCUCAGUUCUUUCUGACUUUAACUUUGCCUUGAGUUUGAGAUCUCGCCAUAAGCAAGGAAAGAACAAGGAAUAGGAUCAUUAUGGUGAAGUCUGAUGGAAUUAUGCACUCUUUCAACAAAAUGUUUAGGAAGUCCAGAAAUAAUCUUUCUUUCCAAAAAGAUUGAUUACAAUCUUCAUGAAAUAAAACUCUAGUAGGAAACAUAUCCUUAUACCAUUGAAAAUCAUCAAGUUUAGGAUAAGUGAGAUUUAAGAAAUGUCCUAUCUUGAAGGAGAUCUUGAGUUCCAAUAAAAUGUUUGAGAACGGAAAAGACAAGUCUAUUGAAACUAUCAUUACGAAGUUGUUCAUUGGAAGCUUUAGUAAUAGUGUCGCGAUCUUCGACAAUAAGAUAGUUAUUCCAUGGCUUUUAAGCUCACAAACUAAAUUAUUGAAGGUAGUAAUAGGAGAUAUAUUUCGACAUAUAUAAGCUGUGUAACACACGGCCAUAUGUUAAAGCAAUUGUAAUAUUUGAUAUUCUGUCCAUCCGUCAAGAUUUCAUUAGACGAUCUCACCAUCCGAUAGGAAACUUUUGAUUAUUUCUUUUCCUCUUAUGACAUAUCAGAAUAUGAAGAACGAGAAUAAAAAUUUGGAAGUUUCGAUUUUGGCCUUUCAAUUUAUUGAAAUGAGAUGGUUUAUUUUCAAUAAAUUGCGCUUCAAGUUCUUCUAAAAUAUCAACGGUAUUGAUUUUGUUAUAUGUUUCUAAUUUGGAUAUUUGGUUAGCGAGUUCUUAUAAAAAAUUUAUGUAGGCAAAGAGUCUUUUCUUUAGUUUAGGAGUUAAUUUUGAAUUAAUGGAUUUAAAAUUGUAUUAAGAGGUAUUUUCUCAUUUUUCUUGGAUGAGGAGGCUUCGGAAUCAGAAUUGGCUUUAAUCCUAGAUAAUUUAGAACACAAUGACUGGAGAACAAUAUUUGUAUAAUUGUUCUGUGUUAAAUAUUUUUUAUAUUUCUGGUUUAGUGCUAGAUUCUUGGGGUCUAUCAGUAGGAACUUGCUUGAUAUGUGAUGCAAUAAUAUCAGUGUUUCCAUAAGAAACAACUAUUUCUUGCAUUGACGGAUCUUCAGAUUGAAAAUUUUGUCCAGAAGGAGUUUUUCAAGUUUUUUUUUUUUUUUUUUUUUAUUAACAUGAGUAUUUUGAAAUAGAUGUAGUUUUAGCAAUCUUCUUGCCAGAAACUUUAAAGUGUGCUCAAUCAUAAAACUUAAAUCUUUAGGAGAAUUAUAAAAUUCUUACCAUAAAAAUUUGAUCUCAAUUUAACAUUUGUUUAAGAGAAAAUUUUGACAGAAGGAGUUUUAUCAAUUUUGAACUCAGUUUUUCUAUUAAUUAUAGAAGUAAUUACAUUACACUGUCUAUCCAAUCGUUCAUAUGGACUAGAUAGCAUAUCUGACAACUCAAGCAAAUCAAGCUGUUCUAAUUUGAUAUCCCUAUUAGUUAUAUAUUGAGUUUUUGGAAUAGUCAUUGUAAAAUCGACUACUUUUCAUUUAUCAAAAGAAAUUGAAAUUCUUGAUGAUUGAAAAGGAUUUUUAGAUCUUGUCUCAGAUCUAGAAGAGUAGGACCUUGGAAGAUUAUUUGAUGAUGAUUUUUCAUUAAAAAUCAUCUGGACUUGUGUAUUUGGGAAGGAAAAAAUUUGAUUAAGAACUGUUCAAACAGGUGUAAGAAUUGGGUUUUGAGCAUUUUCAAAAUCUCAUUCAAGUCCUCUAGAUUAAGAUUUCAAGGUAUUCUUUUUUUUGGAAUUAUGGUACUAGAAUGAAGAGAAUCAUCGUCCAUCAGAAGACUUUCAUCUAUAAGAGAUGAGCGAAGAGCUCAAAUAUUGAGUUGAGUGUUCAUAAAUUUUUAAUAUACACGAUAUAUUAUAGCAAAUGCUUUGGAAAGAUCGUCAUAAUUAAGAUUUUUUGUUUGAAUUUGAAUAGAUGCUCAGAUUUUUAACUAGCUGCCUGAUAAGGAAAAACGUGAAAAAAUAUAUGAGUUGAUAGCUCAGUGAGUGAAGAAAUUCAAAAUAAAUAUACUUUUUCAUUUAUAUAUUUUUAUUGAAAAUCAAAUCCAUAUCAUUUGAUAAUUCACAAGCUACCAUCAUGUAAUCAUAGUCAAAAAGUAAAAUAUUCACAUAAGGUCAUAAAAAUAUCAUCUUAAAAUCACGAUAUAAUAUCAGCUGAUAACCAUGUUAUAAUCUUAUCAUAUCAAACGUGCUGAAAAAUUCACCAAAAAUGUACCCUCUGACUGAAAUAUAUAAUCCGCCCCUCGGGUUAAGAACUUUCGCCAUCCCUCCGUGAACGAAAGUCGGUCUCCAAGCCUCUCAUAAUCAAUUCUAGAACACGGUCAAGGUCGCUCUGUGAACUAUAUGUACACGAUCAAGACCAAUGUCGGGUCAAGACCCUCCGUGUAGGAUAGAACACGGCCAAGGCCCUUUUGUGAACUAGAAUAAGUAUAUAAUCAUGGGUACUUUUCUGGCCGAUCUCAAUAUUGCAUGUCUCACACACCAACCAAAUCUCAAUAUCACAUGUCUUACAUAGCAAGUCACAAAUAUGUCAUAAAUAAUCUUUGAUAUUCCACAUGUAUCAUAAUAAAAGAAAUUUCCAUAAUAACCAUAUAAUUCGAACACAUAAUUGCACAUACUUUGACAUACUUAAUUUAUAAAUAUUUUAAAAAUAUUUAUCUUUUUUCUCUCACAGAACUAUGUAUGCCAAAAUCAAUUCAAUUGGUACGCUGUUCCGAUAUCCGUAUCGCCGCAUGAAAUAUAAUAUAAUUUUUAAAUCAACAAUUAACUAAUUUAAGUAAUUUCAAUAAUCAAAUAGGCGAUACCUAAACAUAAUUAUUUCAUGUUUAGGGGAUUUCUUAAGUCUCUUUAAUUACUAAAAUUAAUUUUUCUUUCAUUUUACUCAAUUUCAUAGUUUAUUACACUUAACCACUUCAAUAAAAUUAAAUUUAACCUAACAAUCUAACAACUACAAAAUCAAACAUAACUUAACAAUAAGUAACUUUUUACUUACCCUUCAAAAUUGAGAAAUUUAAGCCUAAUAGGAUAGAGCACUUAAUUCCUAACACAUUGGCGAAAUUUUCUUUUUUUUCCUUCUUUUUCUUCCUCUUUUUCUUUUUUUUUCUUUUCCUCUUUUUCCUUUCUCUUUUUCUUCUCUGGUACCUUUUUUUUUUUUUUUCUGUUUUGGUGUGUGUAAAGUGUGAUAUGCGUGUCUUAUUAAAGAUUGGAUUACAUAUAUAUCUAAUACAUUGGAAAUGGGUUGGUUUGCCGCCUGCCAUUUUUGUCUUUUUCUUUUUAAUUUUUUUGUUUGACUUUUUUUUUUGUUUAAUGUUUUACAAAACUCACCCCCUUAAAAGAAUUUCGUCCUCAAAAUUCAAUUGACUAAGCGUGGAAAAUCUGGGGAUACUGAGAACGCAUCUGCUCUUCACUUUCCCAUGUCGCUUCUUCUAUAGCAUGAUUCCUCCACAAGACUUUAACCAAAGGAAUGGUCUUACUACGCAAAGCAUGUUCCUUCCUAUCCAAUAUCUGAACUGAUUUUUCUUCAUAGGUAAGUUUUUCUUUAGCUAUUUUUCUUCAGCUCUACUGGUUGUGAUUCCAAAACAUGAGAUGGAUCUGGAAUAUACUUACGAAGCAUAGAAACAUGGAAUACAUCAUGAAUUUUAGACAAUUCUGUUGGCAAAGCCAAUCGAUACGCAACUGGACUGAUGCGUUCAACAAUCUCAUAUGGGCCAAUAUUCUUCGGACUCAAUUUACCUUGUUUAACAAAUCUGAUAACAUCUUUCCAUGGAGACAAUCGCAGGAAAACUCUAUCUCCAACAUCAAAUUCAAGGUUUCUUCUGCGUCUAUCUGCAUAGUUCUUCUGUGUAUUUUGCGCUGUUUUUAACUUUUCUUUAAUUAUCUUUACUUUCUCGGCAGUAAUCUGGACAUAUUCAGUACCCAAUAACUUUCUUUCACCAACUUCAUCCCGACAUAUUGGAGUUUUGCAUUUUCUACCAUACAGUGUUUCAAAAGGAGCCAUUUCUAUACUCGAAUGAUAACUGUUUUUAUAGGCAACCUCCAUCAAAGAAAGAUGAGUAUCCCAAUUCCCUUUGAACUGUAGUACAAAAGCUCGUAACAUGUCUUCUAGAGUCUGAAUAGUUCUUUCUGACUGACCAUCUGUUUGUGGAUGAAAAGCUGUACUGAAAUGAAGUUUAGUACCCAUAGCUUUCUGCAAACUGGGCCAAAAUUUAGAAGUGAAACGAGAAUCUCUAUCUGAAACAAUAGAUACUGGUGCCCCAUAUAAACUAAUUAUCUCGUCAACAUAUAUUUUUGCCAAUUUAUCUAAUAAGUAAGUGACUUUAAUAGGCAAAAAUUUAGCAGUCUUUGUCAAUUUGUCUACAAUGAUCCAUAUGCCAUCAUGUCCACUCUGAGUUCGUGGAAGUCCAAAUAGAAAAUUCAUAGUAAUGUGUUCCCAUUUCCACUCAGGAAUAGGCAACAUUUGGAAAAAUUUUGCUGUUACAUCUGGACACAAACUUAGCUAUUUCUCUCUUCAUUCUAUGCCACCAAUAGUAUUUUUUAAAUACACGAUACAUUUUUGUACUACCUAGAUGCAUCACGUAAGCUGAACUAUGUGCCUCUUCUAGAAUUUCUCCCUUUAAUUUCGAAUUAUCUGGAACACAUAAUCUGUUUCCCAUAACUAAAGCUCCAUCAUCUCGAAUGGUAUAAUCUGUAUGCUUACCUUUACUAGCUUCUUCUUUCAAUUUACUCAACACUGGAUCUUGAGUUUGAGUUUCUUUAACUAUGUCAAUCCAAGUAGGCCUCACUUGAAAGUUGGCAAACAAUGCUUCUACACUGGUAACUGAUAAUUGAGCAUGAGAACCUCUGAACUCACUAAACAAAGAUGAACAUACUGCAUUAGUUUGAGUCAUAGGACUCGAUAUUUUUCGACUGAGAGCAUCCGCAACUACAUUAGCCUUCCCUGGAUGAUAAUCAAUCUUGCAGUCGUAAUCUUUUAUCAGCUUUAACCAUCUUCUUUGCCUCAAGUUUAACUCUUUUUUUAUUGAAAAUAUACUUUAAGCUUUUAUGAUCUGUAUAUAUUUGGCAUCUCUCACCAUACGAGUAAUGUCUCCAAAUUCUCAAGGCUAGAACAACUGCAGCUAGCUCUAAGUCAUGUAUAGGAUAACUCAGUUCAUGUUUCUUCAACUGCCUGGAAGCAUACGCUAUAACUUUCCCAUUCUGCAUCAAAAGACAACCAAGACCCUGACGUGAAGCAUUACUAUAUAUCACAAACUCUUCACCAGGAGAUGGAAGGGUAGGAACUGGAGCUGACACUAAUCUAUUCUUCAAUUCGAGGAAACUUCUCUCGCAAUUUUCAUUCCAAACAAAUUUAGCAUUUUUUCUAGUCAAAUUGGUCAAAGGCAGAGCAAUCUUAGAAAAUCCUUCUACAAAACGACGAUAAUAACCUACCUAUUAAGCCAAGAAAACUUCGGAUUUCUGUCACAUUAGUAGGCCUUUCCCAUUUUACCACUGCCUCUGUUUUCUGCGGGUCAACAUAAAUUCCUUCUUCUGAUAUGACAUGUCCCAAAAAUACAACUUUAUCAAGCCAAAAUUCACAUUUACUGAAUUUAGCAUACAACUGCUCAUCACGUAGAGUCUGCAAGAUGAUUCUGAGAUGUUCUGUGUGCUCAUCAUGAUCUCGAGAGUAUACUAAAAUAUCAUCAAUGAAUACAAUCACAAAUCUGUCUAAAUAUGGGCGAAACACUCUAUUCAUCAUAUCUAUAAAUGAUGCUGGUGCGUUGGUCAACCCAAAUAGCAUCACAAGAAAUUCAAAAUGACCAUAUCUUGUCCUGAAAGCAAUUUUUGGCACAUCACUAUCCUUGAUUUUAAGUUGAUGAUAUCUAGAACGCAAAUCAAUCUUUGAAAAUACUGCAACACUUCGAAACUGAUCGAACAGAUCAUCAAUACGUGGCAAAGGAUAUUUAUUGCGAAUUGUCACCUUGUUCAAUUGUCUGUAAUCUGUGCACAGUUGCAUGGUACCAUCCUUCUUUUUCACAAAAAAAACUGGUGCUCCCCACAGAGAUAAACUAGGCCUGAUGAAACCCUUAUCUACCAAUUCUUGCAACUGAACAUUUAGCUCUUUCAAUUCUGCUGGUACAAUUCUAUAGGGUGCCCGUGAAAUAGGUACAGUUCCUGGAAUCAGAUCUAUAGUGAACUCCAUAUCUUUGUCUGAUGGUAAUCCUGGUAAUUCUUCUGGAAAUACGUCAGGAAAGUCCUUGACCACUGGAAUAUCUUCAAGUUUUAGUUUGCUAACAUCUGUAUCAAUUACAUGAGCCAAAUAUGCAUGACAGCCCUUGUUAAGUAAUCUUCUAGCGUCAAUAGCAGAUAUCACACAAGACGGUAAAAUUAUAUGCUGUCCAUUGAAUAUAAUUUCAGGCUGUCCUAGCUGUCUAAACACAACCUCCUUUUGAAAACAAUCAACUGAAACUCGAUUUGUUGCCAAAAAGUCUAUACCCAAGAUAACAUCGUAAUCGUGUAUGUCAAGAGGUAUUAAAUUUGCCUUCAGCUCGUUCUUCUUUACCUUAAUCCCACAAUCUCAAUAUAUAUUGUUUGCUAAUAGUGAUUUUCCUAUUGGUGUAUUCACUACCAGACAACUGCCUAAAAGUUUUGGCUUUUGAUUCACAUAUAAAGCAAAUACAAAUGACAUAAAAGAAUGUGUAGAUCCAGGAUCAAUCAAAAUACAAGCAUUUCUAUCAAAAAUAGACAACAUACCCAUGAUAACAUCUGGUGACUCCUUUGCCGCCUGCUGAGUCAUAGCAAAAAAUUUGCCCUGGGUCUUUGGUCGUCCUACCUGUCCUUUUGAUUUUGUACCACUACCGCUUGCAAUAUUAGAGUGGGCCACACUAUUUGUACCUGCUCUAUUAGCUGAAUCAUCUCUCUGAGUCUGAUUCUGUCUUGUACUACCAGUACUCUGCUAAGGAAACAUCCUUUGUGCCAUGCUACCCUCCUGAAAUAAAAUUGGGCAAUUCCUUUUCAGAUGUCCUUCUUGGCCACAGCGAUAGUAAACACCAAUUCCCUUGAACUUUAAACACUCUCCAGGAUGAGAUCUUCCACAUAAUUGGCAAGAAGAAAAUCUGGCACUAGUAGAAUCCUCUCCCUGUUUCAGAGUAAAUGAUCUUUGGAAAGAACCCUGAGUGUAAUUAUGACUAGCCAAUGGCUGCUGUACAGUAGUGGGACUGAAUCUAGGACCCUGACUUCCUCGAAGUCAAGAUUUGAAUUGACCUGAACUGGACACACCAGGUCGAAAUCCUCUACUGUCCCUCCGUGGUGGUCAUAGCUAGAAGCACUUGCCAUUGUCUAACUACCGCUUGCUCUGAACAUUGUUUGUUCUCUACCACUUGGCCUAUCAGAAAUGCUCUUUUCUACCCUCAAAGCUGAUUACACUAAUUUGCCAAAUUCAUUCCAGCCUGCAGCUGUUACAACUGACCUGAUUUCUUCCCUUAACCCAUUUUCAAACCGUCUACAUUUAUCAAUUUCGUUGCAUACCAAAACUUGGGCAUAUUUUGAAAGUUCAAUAAAUUUCACCUGAUAUUCUGCAAUAGUCAUCUGGCAUUGUAUUAGUUUCAGAAAUUACUCCUGCUUUGCAUCUUUAUAGGACCGAGGAUAAUAGGCAUCGUAAAAGAUAAGACGAAAAACUGUCCAAGUAAUGAUUGAAGGGUCUAGAUAUGUGCUCCGUACUGACUGCCACCAAUAAUACACACCCUUCUCUAAUAAAAAGGUGGCAAGACACAACUUCCGAUCGUCUAAGCAGCCCAUAACGUCAAAUACCGUCUCUAUCUUUAUCAUCCAUGCCUGCACAACUGCAGGAUCUGCUGUGCCAAUGAACACUUUAGCCCCUAACUUUGUAGCCCUUUCAAUACUAAAAUCUCUGUCAGUAUUACGCAUAGCAGAUGCAACUGCAGUAGUAAUUCUUUCAACAACAAUAUGAUCGGUUUCAAUCACAUUUUCUUGUCCAUGUUGUUCAGGAGUCUGGUGAACUGAUUCAUCUACUCUCUCGGGCUCUCUCAGUUCAUCUCUAUCAGGAGCAAUGUGAGACUGGGGCAAUAUAUCUUGGAACCUUCGAGUUUUGCCACCACGAGGCAUGAUUCACCUACAGUUAUGCAUGAUAUGCUAAAUAUGAGAAUGUAUGCAUGUACAGUGCAAACCCAUGAACUCUAAUGCAUGCUCUGAUACCAAACUGACACACCCCGCCCCGUGUAACACUACUAGAUUCGGACGUGGGAUGCGCCGAUGAUAGAUAUCAACUAAAAGUCAGACCCACCAUCAAGACUACUACAAAUACAAUAUAUUACUUUUUAUACAUCAUUUUUCUAACAAAAUUUCGGCAUUAUCUCCCCUGUAAACAGGACUAAUCAACAUGUGAUCAAUUUCACAUAAAUCCAAAACUAUAGCACAGCACAAUAAAAAUAAGUCGAAAUCUCCACUUUUACCAAGAAAUACAAUGAAAUAUACCUAUGGAUACAUAAUACAUAGUGAGCCCCAUAACUAUCUACAAGUGAUGCAAAAUCACAUCUAAACAUGAACAUGCGUCCCAAAAUACUGACUACAUGUUCUAUGAAGUGAGUCAUACUAACAAACUCUAUGGUGUGGCUCUGAUUCCAAAAUCAAGACUCAACUCCAAAAGAUACCCAGAUUUUCAACUACUGUCUGAUAAGGAAAAACGUGAAAAAAUAUAUGAGUUGAUAGCUCAGUGAGUGGAGAAAUUCAAAAUAAAUAUACUUUUUCAUUUAUACAUUUUUAUUGAAAAUCAAAUCCAUAUCAUUUGAUAAUUCACAAGCUACCAUCAUGUAAUCAUAGUCAAAAAGUAAAAUAUUCACAUAAGGUCAUAAAAAUAUCAUUUUAAAAUCAUGAUAUAAUAUCAGCUGAUAACCAUGCUAUAAUCUUAUCACAUCAAACGUGCUGAAAAAUUCACAAAAAAUGUACCCUCUGACUAAAAUAUAUAAUCCGCCCUUCGGGCUAAGAACUUUCGCCACCGGCCUUUGGCCCCCUCCAUGAACGAAAGUCGGUCUUAACGACCUCUUAUAAUCAAUUCUAGAACACGGUCAAGGCCCCUCUGUAAACUAUAUGUACACGAUCAAGAUCAAUGUCGGGUCAAGACCCUCCGUGUAGGAUAGAAUACGGCCAAGGCCCUUCUGUGAACUAGAAGAAGUAUAUAAUCAUGGGUACUUUUCUGGCCGAUCUCAAUAUUGCAUGUCUCACACACCAACCAAAUCUCAAUAUCACAUGUCUUACAUAGCAAGUCACAAAUAUGUCACAAAUAAUCUUUGAUAUUCCACAUGUAUCAUAAUAAAAGAGAUUUCCAUAAUAGCCAUAUAAUUCGAACACAUAAUUGCACAUACUUUGACAAUAUACUUAAUUUAUAAAUAUUUUAAAAAUAUUUAUAUUUUUCACUCACAGAACUAUGUACGCCAAAAUCAAUUCGAUUGGUACGCUGUCCCGAUAUCCGUAUCGCUGCCUGAAAUAUAAUAUAAUUUUUAAAUCAACAAUUAACUAAUUUAAGUAAUUUCAAUAAUUAAAUAGGCGAUAUCCAAACAUAAUUAUUUCACGUUUAGGUGAUUUCUAAAAUCUCUUUAAUUACUAAUUAUUCUUUCAUUUUACUCAAUUUCAUAGUUUAUUACACUUAACCCCUUCAAUAAAAUUAAAUUUAACCUAACAAUCUAACAACUACAAAAUCAAACAUAAUUUAACAAUAAGUAACUUUUUACUUACCUUUCAAAAUUGAGAAAUUCAAGCCUAAUAGGAUAGAGCACUUAAUUCUUAACACAUUGGCGAAUUUUUCCUUUUUUUUCUUUGCCUCUUUUUCCUUUCUCUUUUUCUUCUCUGGUACUUUUUUUGUUUUUUUGUUUUGGUGUGUGUAAAGUGUGAUAUGUGUGUGUUAUUAAAGAUUGGAUUACAUUUCUAAUACAUUGGAAAUGGGUUGGUUUGCCGCCUGCGUUUUUGUCUUUUUCUUUUUAAUUUUUUUUUUGUUUAAUGUUUUACAAAGACGUUGCGGAAGAAUAUGCUGUGAAACCGUUGGUUGUAAACAUGAUUCUAAAACUUCCACGGGAAAAGAAUGGGUUAGAUUGUUUUCUAAAGAUAUGUUUUUUGUUUCAUUUGAUGUCUAGCUUUUUAAUUAUCUUAAUUCUUUUUUCCCCUUUCAGUGGAGAUUGUGGAAUUUAUAUAAUUAGAUAAGCACAAUAUUUCAUCAACAAAAGUUAAACGAACCGUGAAAGCCAUUUAACAUUCUACAAAUUAGACAAAACUUUGCUGCUCAAUUGUUUAUACCAAGAAGAAGCAAGAUAAGAAUUAUAACAGAGACAAUGAAUGGGCGUCAAAGGGAAGAGAUUCGUGAUAUAUUGAUGAGGUAGAGAUAAAGAUGUAUUUGAAGAGGCAACGAUAGAUUAAUGUACAGGACUGACAAGCAAAUAAUGAUGAUGUUUAAAUUAUGACAUUUUGCAUUUUUAGUUGUUAGGUUAUUGAUGAGAUUUUGGCUGCAUUCAAUAUGUUGAUAGUUGAUGUUAAAUGAUUGUACAUAACUUGGUUGUAUUAAGUUGGUUGGAAUUUGAUCUUUUUGGUACAAAAUGAAUGCUUUACUACAAUUUUUAUCCAGGAAAACUGGUGUAGAUAAAUAUCAGGUUUUUAUCUUGGACUUUAAUUUUAUUUUAUUUUUUUAAUUUUGUCAAUUUUUCGAGUGUUUGUAACUUUUUUGAAUUUUUUUCCUUUUUUUAGUGUUUAUCACUUUUUUUUUAAUUUCUAUCACUUUUUUAAUGUUUAUCACUUCUGUUUAAAUUUUUGUCAUUUUCUUGAAAUUUCUAUUAAUUUUUGAGUAACAAAAAUCAAUUUCUUAAUAAAAGUGACAUUAUGUAUAAAAAAAAGUAACAUGUAAAACUUUCUUUUAGUGAUAUUGUUUCACUUAAUUUCACAUUUUAUUUUUACUUCUUUUUUUAUUUUUAAUUUUUUUGUCAGUUUCUUAAAAUUUCUGUCACUUUUUAAUAAAAGUGAUUUGGAAAAAAAGUAACGCUUAAAACUUUUUUUAAAAGUGAUAUUGUGUCACUUAAUUUUACAUAUUAUUUUUAUAUUUUUGUCACCUUCUUGAAAUUUUUGUCACUUUUUAAUAAAAGUGAUAUCGUAUGUGACUUUUUCAUAAAAUAGUGAUACUUAACUUAAAAAAAUGAAACUGUGUAUAUAAAAGUUACAUUGUGUCACUUUUAAAAUAUUUUACAAAGUAUUUCUUACUUCCAAAUUACUUUUCAUAUGAUUUUUCAAAAGACAUCUAAUUUUGUGGGAAUUUUUGUGAGCUGCCCUAUUUUUUUCUUUUUGUCAAUGGGAAAUAAGCUUCAAUAAGUGGUUACAAUUCGGGGUGUAAUUUUAGUCGUUUUGUCUCCAAUGUCUUCUUAUAGUAAGUGGAUAACGUAACCACAUCAUGCACUAACAUAGAUUAAAACUUGUAAAUAUUAGUUCCGUUCAAUAAAAUGUUUUGUAUAUUAUAAGCUUUGAACAAAACUACAGAUAAAAAUGAUCAGCUUAUGAGUAUUGUUUAUUAUAAUUUCUAUGAUUUUCAUUUAUUAUAUCAUGAAUUAAACAAUUUAUCUAGGGGAUUGAUGUAGCCGAAUCAAGAUUAUGGUUUGAUGAUUUUAUAAUUAUUUCUUUGAUUUUUAAUGCUUUCAAUUGCCUGAUCAACAAUUGGAUGAUUUGAUGCUAGUCAAUUUCGGGGCUCGAGAGGGUGGGAAUUUAGGCGUGAUCAUAAGAGUGAUGCAACAUAGAAUUUAUAGGUUUCGAGAGAAAGUAUAAAUCUGUGAAGCUAUCUCCAUAAAAGAAUCGGAUCUUUAUUAAAUUCUUGAUUUUCAAUUUUGAACAGAGAUGUUAGAAUUGGGAUCUAGGGUUAAUUUCUAAUCGGUGCUCGAGAGAGGGGGUUAGAAAUACAUUAGGAUUCUUGCUUUUAAAUAUGGGAAAAUUAAUUGGAAUAAUUUGAAUUCGUUGAAUCAUAAUUGAAAGUUAGGUGAAAUCAAUCCCUAGGCCUUCUCAUUUGAUAAUUUGUAUUCCCCAAUUUUGUCACAUCCAAUCACGUUAGUUUAGUUUAAAUCGUUCAUUCAUAAAACAUCAAUUCAAUCAUACAUUCAUCUAAAUAAAGUAGAAAUUGCAUAAUUAUAGUACUUAGUGAAAAUUAAAUACAAUCCCUGUGGGUUCGACACUCUUACUUCAAUACUAUAUUACAAAACUUGACACCGUAUACUUGUGGUUAAACCACGUUGUAUAAAACGUGUGGCAAGUAUGAAAGAGCUUUACCAAACAUUCACGAAAAGUGGAUACCUAGGGUUUUUACUGGAGAUUCUGCAUAUAUAUUAAAUUUUUUAAAUAUAUUUUCAACAUAAUGGAAUGGGAAAGUACAAUUUCAUUAUAUUUUUUAGAGAUCUUAAUCCCUAAUAUUGCAUUUGUUACCGCCACAUCUUUCCUAUCAAAAUGUAUUGUUAACAUUUUAUUAGUGUUCAUGAUGAUAUCAUGACUUUUGUCCAUAAUUAACAUAUAAUUCACAUAUAGAUAUAGAAUUAUAUAGGCUUUGUAUACAUGUUUUAUGUACACACAUUUGUCACUCUAUUAAUUUUAAAAUUAUUUGACAACAUUGUUUUGUCAAACAUUUGGUGUCAUUAUUUUGGAGUUGCUUCAAAUCAUAUAGGGAUUUAACAAGUUUGCACACUUUUCAUUCUUGGUUAGGAGCAAUAAGCCCUUCAGGUUGCUCUAGGUAUAUUUUUUCUUCCGAUUCACCAUUCAAAAUAUUGCUUUCAUGACCAUUUGAUGAAUUUCAAGGUUAUGUAAUGAUCAAUUGUAAUCAACACCCUCAUCAAAGUGAUUUUAGUCAUAGCUGUGUAAGUAUUAAAGAAGUCAAGUCCUUUUUGCCUAUAGCCUUUUGCAACCAACUUAGUCUUAUAUUUAUCAACGGAUCCAUCCUUUUUUUUCUUGAAAAUCCAUUUAUACGCUUGAGGCUUAUUUCCCAGUGGUAAAUCAAUCAACUCCCAAGGAUGAUUUUGCAUUAUAAAUUCUAUCUUUCCUGUUUUCAAUGGAGUGUUCCCCGUGUAGACAUUGCUUGACUAAAUGUCUUACGAUCACUUUCUACCAUAUAGGUUUGAAAAUUCUGAACCAUAUGAAGUUGAUGUUCUAGCUCUCUUGUUUUACUGUGCUUUUAUUCUUCAUCAUUCAUAGUACUGUUUGCAGUUUCGUAAGUUCUCUUAUAUGAACUUAAAUCUUCUUUACCUUUGCAUGGAGUGAUAUUUUCGAAAAAUAAGCAUUUCUUGAUUCAAUUAUGGUGUCUUCAUGUAUGUCUUGUAUAUCAAACUUAUGAACAAUAAAUCGAUAUGCACCACUAUUAUUGGUAUAUCCAAUAAAUAUGCAAUCAAUUGUCUUAACCAUGAUUUUAAUUUGUUUCGGCUUUAGUAAUUCAACCUUAGCCAAAUAUCUCCACACUUUCGAGUUUAAGAAGGUUAAUGAUAUUUCAUAAUUCAUAUGGAAUUUUAUCAAUUUAUUUUAGAGAUAUUUUAUUAAGGAUGUGAGUUACUAAAAGUAUAGCCGUUAACAAAAUAACUAAAGCAUGAAAGCAGAAUUUAAAUUUUUAUUUAUAAUGCUUUGUUUCGAUACAAUAGUAAGAAUGUUCAUUUUGAACAUUACAUCACAUAAGUAUCAUUUUCAAAAUAUAUAACUUAUUUUUAGUGAGUACAAAUUUAUCGGAUACAAAUACUAAUUUUAAAUCAUUUUUGCUUAGUAGAGACCUAGAUGCAAGGUUCCUACGAAUGUUCAACACAUAUAUGAUAUUGUUGAGAAAUGAGAAUGAGUUCUUUAUUGGAAGUCAUCUUCAAUGUCACCUUCCCUUGUAUUGAAACUUGCAGAACUCUCCAUAAAGAGUUGUUCUCCAUGGAGUUCUUUAUGGUUGGAGAGUAAUACGUUGUUAGCAUAAAUGUGGCAAGUAGCACCAGAUUCAACCCAUCGUGCUCUUAGUUUCCAACAUUGUUAUAUUUAAAAACAACCGCUGACAAGUUCAUUUCUUGCAUCCCGUUAGGUUGUGUUCUUUUUUAUUUUUUUAUUUAUUUUUUAUUUUAAUCAUAUUUGCUAAUGCAUUUUUCUUAGGCUUGCGACAUCCAUUUAAACGAUACCCAAGCUUUCUCACAGUUAUAGCAAUUGCCUUUGAAUUUCUUAACAAUCUUGGUUUCCUUUUGGUGCGUCAUCCAAGAAUUUUCCAUUUUUGUUGAUCUUUGAAUCAGAUUCCACCAAGUUGGCUUUGACUUGCUCAAAUUGAAAAACAGACAUUCUCUCAAUCUUUGUGGUCUUUUUCUAUCCUUAGUCAAACAACAAGUUUUUCUAAGGUCAUCUCUUUACACUUAUGUUUGAGAUAUUUUUUGAAAUCUCUCAAUCUCAAUGAUUGCAGCAACUUGGAAUGACUCACUCAACGUCAUUUUCUCCACAUGAAUGUCAUGGAGAAGAGAAUUACAGUUAUUGCGCUUUACUGAUGAUUGUCUUGAAGUCUAUCAUCUUGUAAUUAAGGAACUUUUCGAUGAUGAAUUUUUUCAUGUGAUGUUCUCCAUUUUAUAUCUUUUCUCCAAAAAAAUCCCAAAGUUCUUUAGUAGAUUUCAGUAAUGAAUAUACUCUUCUAUCUAACGCCAAAAUUGACAAAUAAUUUGAGUAACUAUUCACAUGUUGGGAUACUGCAAUCUUGUUAAUUAAGGUUGUAAAUACGAUAUUCCAUACUUAUUUUGAAUUGAACUAUUUGUACCUUAAAAAUGUACAUCCUUGAAAUCAAAAUCAUUGAUUGCUUUAAGUAUUGUUAAAAUUAAUGAUAAAAACAUGUCUUAUAUCACACAAUGUCAACAAACCUAUCAAGGAAACUGUAAAUUUAGCUAAACUAACUUAUUUCACUAUAGAAAUAAAUGGAAUAGAGAAUCGAUUUCCAUUGCUUAAAAUCUUAAAUACAUUUAACUUUUCCUAUUUCCCAUAUAUCUUAAAAGAGAGAAUCCCAUGCUACUCUUCAUUUGUGUUUUUUCUUCAUGGUUCAUUGUUCAAUUAUAAAAUGUGGUAUGAAAACUUCUACCCUUUAAUUUAUUGUUCAUCUGAAAUUGGCAGCCACCUUUUUUUUUAAUAGAAUCCCCCUAUCUACUUUGACCUUAAAAGAUGCCUAGAUCAAUGUUCUUCUUGAUGCAGAGUUUUCACACUUAACUGGUUCUCCACUGUAGCUAAAUUGGUUCUACAUUUUUCAUCUAAAAAAACAAAUUUAGCGCAUUCAAUUGUUCACAGAGCCAUUUACUAUUGCCGCUUAUUCAAAGAAAAGAGAAGUCUUAGUGAGGACCAAUAUUUUCAGUAGCUUUUGGUUCAUGAAUCCUAACUUCAUCUAUCUUGUUGCGAAAAUCCCUAGAAAAAUCUUGAUUUCGGGCUUAGAAAACAACCAAACGAAUACCACCCGACCAAGGCUCGACCCAAACCAAACCAAAUGAACACUUUUGUUGCCUCAAAUUUCUAGGCUCACGCAGUUAUCCUCUUCUAACCUACAAAGGAUCACGGUGGCGGUGAUUACAACAUCACAAAGGGAGGAAGAAAUGAAAGGGACCAAUAGUUGGAUAUCACUAAAUCACCUCACCAAGACAUGGCUGCCUCUCUCUUAUUUUCUCUCCUCUGUUGUAACUCUCUCACACACGCACCAAGGAAGAUACGGCUAGGAACAAAACAUAUAUAGCAAGACAUUAGGUCACUCAUAUGGAUUGGGCCACAGUUUUCUCUAUAGAUGGGCUGACACUUAAUUACAAAUAAAUGGACCACACAAUCCAAAAACCAUCUAACCCAAACUUGGGUUAUCUAAAAGUAUAGGUUGUUUUCGAGCCAAGCCAAGCCUAUGGUAUCGAUAAGUUUUCCGUGAACUAUUUUAAAUCAUAGCUUAGAUUUAUUGGGUAUCAAAACCCAAAAAAUCUUUACCUUAAUGCCCAUUAAAUCUAUAAGCAAUGAAAACACAAAGUUUAUACUUGUAUAAUCAAGGUAACCAAUAAAAUUGGUAUCACAGACCUUACCUCGUAUUUCUAACAUGAAAUACAUACCAUAUCUGCUCUAUGUACUCACCAGGGCUUAAGAUCAAGAGUACUCGAGCAGAAGCUGAUAUUCAUAGUAAUCAACCAAGAGCAAAUAAACAUGCGAUAACGAUAUAAUAUAGGAUAACACAGAUCUUUUCAAAAAUACGGUCACAUAGAACAACAUAUUAACACCAAGUUAAUCAAACACACGGUCAAAUACACAUGCAACAAAUCUAAUUCUUGCUGAAUAAAGUUACUUCUUAUGAAAUCCACUAUUAGACUCUGCCAGUUCAUGAAUUGUGAUUUUAUUAAUACACUCUUAAUGUAAUUCUUGGCGAACUAGGUAACUACAAAUGUUACAAAAAGCUAUUUAUCAUUUGAAUUUUAUGUUAUAACGGACUGGAAUAUUUCUAUUUUAAUAAUUGUUCGAUCUCAUUUUGUAGAUUAAUUAAUUUUAUUGUAGUACUUGCUGUUUGAAAUUUGACUUUGUGGGUGGUAAUGACUUAUUUAUUUUUACCACUAGCGUAAAAAUUUAUGUUUUAAAAGUGAUUAGCAGUUCUAUGGCUUUAGAUGUCCAUUGUUAAAUAAUAUGUGCCUCUAAAUGUACAUUGUUCAAUGUUAUUACAUCGAGGUUUAAAAAAAUUGACCGAAGGCUUAACUGCGUGGCUCUAUACUACUACAAGUAAGAAAUAAGGUUGAAGUACUAUGGAUAUUAGAGCUAUCUGUUUAAAUGACUCAAAUUAGUGAACUGUGCUUAUCUAUGCUAGCAGGUUAGGUUCAUCAGACUAGGUAGCUUAAGAGCGUGGAAUUGGACCGCCCUCAAUAGAUGAAUAUGGUAUAUAAUGGAAUUGACCCAAAAAUUUCUCUAUUUACAUUUUGCCAGUCUUUGGUAACAGCGUAAAAUCAGAUAGAGUAUGUCCAGCUGUAAUCCUCAACCGAUCUUACCUGAUCUAAUUGUAUUACUGACUAUAAUUGAUUUCUUGUGUGUAAUAGUAUUCUAUAUGGCCUCACUGGUAAGUGGUUACCUAUACCCUGCUUCCAUUCCUCCUUUUUAUAAGAAAGCCAAAUGUUAGAAGAACUCGGUCAUUCUAGCAGCGACAAGAAGACUAUAAAAAUGACCAAGAUCAAGAUACUAUGGUCCAGUCUUCGUCACAUGCUGUCGUUUCUAGGACCGACUGACGCCUCACCUGCAUUGGUACCUAGUGUAGUGGUUGCACAUUCAACGUAGUGUUUGGACUCACGUGCCUUCUAGGACCGAGAUCUCUGAGUGUGCUGCAUAUGAUUUGCCAGCUUUGUGGCAACAAAAAGAUUAGAUGUCCCCCCAUGCUAUGACCAUUUGUAAUUUCAUCUCUUUCACCCCAUGUCCUAUGUCCCACCAUAGUAUAUCUCUACACCUUGACACCUUUUACCAAUUAGAUUCCUUACACGUGUAGACUUUAAUCAUCAUGAAAAUUCAGCGUGGCCAUUGUUUCAUUUAUUUAGGUUGAGGAUGCAUUUUACUGUUUCUCUGUUGCUAUAGAGCUUUUCAUUGGAGAAAGGGACUGGAAAGAAGUGCUUUAUGCUGGCUUCAAGGAACCUCAUUAUAUGGGAUUGUCCACCCCGUUGGCAAUGUAUCUCUUUUCCCAACUCCAGGUUCUAUAUUUAUCCUUCAUAAGAAUAACAAGUAUCUCUUUUUUUCCCUAUUAAUUAUCUCGCUUGAUAUUUUGUUGAGUGUCUGAUUCAGAUUUCCAGAGGUCGCAGUGCGUCUUGUUGGGUACUUGUUUACAAUUUGUGGCAAGAUAAAUACCUCCAUGCUUUCUUCAGGAACUAAAUAUGCAGCUUACCUCGUGUUCACUUUGAGAUAAGGAAUUAAUGGAUAUGGGCACCAGCUUGUUCAGGCUUUGAUAGAAAUUAGUGGACAAAACGCUGAUGAACAAACUAACUAUUUACAAAUUGGACAAGAAGCUGAUGGUACAACUGUCUAUUGUCCAGAUGAAGAACAGAGGCAAAGGUGCCAGACUGUUCCUAGACCCAAAACUUUCUUGCAUUUAAUCUCUCAUGUAUUUUGACGGCUAGACAUCAUAGAGCCCUCAGAGUUGCACAGAUAUCCUAAGUUCAGGGAUGAUGGAUGGAUGGAAGUUGAGAUGGGAGAGUUCUUCGUCGAGGGGAAACAAGAUCAGGAUGUGAAAAUUAUAUCUGUGCCAUGGAAUCCAGGACUGUGGUGUAAUUGUUGGCAUGGUGGUCAUCUUAUUAUUCAAGGUAUUGAUAUCAGACCAAGAGCUUGGUGAAUAUUUGAUUUACUAUUUUCAUC
This 51156-nucleotide long non-coding RNA is filed under the name Olea europaea (common olive). RNAcentral's name for it is "long non-coding RNA (OEUR_LNC005814)". The record is from RNAcentral. Lineage: Eukaryota; Viridiplantae; Streptophyta; Magnoliopsida; Lamiales; Oleaceae.